This 86867-nucleotide long non-coding RNA is filed under the name Theobroma cacao (cacao). RNAcentral describes it as "long non-coding RNA (TCAC_LNC003401)". The record is from RNAcentral. Lineage: Eukaryota; Viridiplantae; Streptophyta; Magnoliopsida; Malvales; Malvaceae.
UUUCAUAAUGUUUUCAAUUUAUUUCUUAAACCAUAAAAUAUUUGUAAUUUACCAAAACAGUUGUUAAGGCUUAUGUCUUUUAUUAAAACAAGGCUCAAGCCAAAACUAAUCCUCGGGGAUACCUUGGCCGAGGCAUCUAACCGAGUCCGCCAAGGGUGUUAAAAUAUUCACACGUGAAACACAUUUUUAUUUUUAAAACCAGCCGUUCCUUGGCGUUGGCCGAGUUACACAUUCACGUGGGGGUUCGACGUGAAGUGAGCUCUAAUACUACCCCGGGAGUUACCCUCCUCGCCUCUACAACCGGAGUAACUAUAUAACUGGGUUUACCGUGCCCCUCUAAUAGGCAGUCCACGAAAACCCGUCACUGCAGUGACUAACCCACCAAUUUUAAUAAAAUUUCGACAGUAUAACGUGGCUUUUAUUUAUUUAUCCAGCCUGCAUAGUAAAACAACUUACAUAAAUUUCCCAAUGCAUUCACAAAAUAUAGCCACAUAUACUCAUUUCUCAUAAGCCAUUCCUAGGAAAAUAUAUAUUUUUCAAGUCAAUUUGUAGCCUCCAAUUACUCAAUUUCAUAAUCAAUACAAUAUAUUUUUAUUUGUCACAUUUAUUCCUAAAACAUCAAAAAUCCCGUUUUAAUCUCGUUCUCAUUUCAUAAAAUACAUAAAGGGCAUUUAAAAUAAACUCUAGAUAAUUUACAAUAAUAAUAAGUUUACUCACCGUUUGUACAAACUAAAAGCUUUCUAAGCGCCCCGAUCACUACUCGUCGGGUACGACUUCUUUGCCUUUUCCGGAAGGCUCUCCUCCUAGACACAUUACAAAAAUUUACACAAUUCAUCACAUUGAUGCUAAAUCACUAUAUAAUUAACUUAAAUCCUAUACUAAUGCAUGGUAUGAAAUGCAAUAGCCUAAAACGGCUUAAACGCGGUAUUAACCUAUUUUUGGCACUUUGCCCGAUAAAUUGCUAACGCGCUCCAUUUUAGCUCUAAAUCAUCCCAUUCUCUCUCCAACAUUUCUAACCAUUAAAUAUCAGCCAAUAACCUUCUAAAAACAACAAAAUCAGCUCACUCCCUUCCUUGGAAAAUUCGGCCAAAAAUGGGACAUUAACUCGGUUAAUUUUCUACUUUGUUUUUCUAUCACGUUUAAUCGUUUUUCAUCAUUUUCUCUUCAUUUCCCUUAGAAUAAAAUCAAUUCAUCAUCAUUGUACAGCAUUGAGCAUCCAGCCAAGAGUGGGUAUUGUGAAAAUUUAAUGAUUUCUUGCCCAAUUUAAUUUCUAAACACAUUUAACUAACUAAAACUAUCAAUUUAACUAAAAAUCAAAACCUAAAAAUUUCAAUUUCUCUCCCCUAGAAUUUCGUCCAGCCCUUGAUAUCACUUUUUGAUCUCUCUCCUCAAGCAUGCUAAAUGGAAAUAAAGGCAUAGGAAAGGUAGAAAUCAAGCUAAAAUCGAAAAAUCUUACCGUUAGACGCGUAAACGGUCGAAAACCGCGAAUUUCCCUUUGAAUUUUCUUGUUUCUCUUUGGUUUUUCUUUUUUUCUUCCUUUCCUCUCUAUUUCCUCUCUUGUUCUUCCUUAUGGCCGGCCAGCACUUAAAAUUUGGGUUUAAAUGGGCUGACUUUUCAUUAAAAUAAUAUUAUAUCAUUAAAAAAUGCCACAUGUCACUUUCCCAUUGGCCCAUUUUUAAAAUUUCAUCCAUUUGUUUCCAAAUUUUCACCAUACACUUGUCUCAUAUAUUCAUAGCUUAGAUAAAAUUCUCAGACUCAUCCAAAGUCUCGGUGGAGUAAUUUUUGAAAUUUACACUUUUGCCCCCGUAAAAGUCAAAAAUUACAUUUUUGCCCCAAAAAUUGAAAAAUUGCCCAUAGACAUAUUUUUCAUCCCUUAUACUCAUACCAUUCUCCAAUUUAUCAAAUUUGAUCUAAAUUCUCUCAAAAUCUCAAGUUUUGUUCGUGGGUGGUAAAAUUACGAUUUUGCCCCAUACACUCCAAAAAUCACCAGAAUUAAACUUUUUCACUUCCUAUCAUUAAAUUAUACUCCAAAUAGUUAAUCUUGGUCAAAAAUUUCACUCCAUGAUCAAAUUAUUAUCUUAUGUGGCAAAAUGACGAUUUUGCCCUUGAAUAUCAAAAUUUCUAAUUUUACGCCAAAUGAACCAUCGAACUCCGAACAAUCAUUUUUAGUCAUUCCUGGACUAUAAAAUAUUAAAUUUCAUCCUACAAUUCCUAUUUAAACUAGUUCAAGAUUAAAUCAAUUUAAAUGUACCGUUAGGUACAAUAUCGGGUUUCGUCUAUUCUUAGGUGCUUUUCUAGCGUAAUAACAUGCUACUCAAUGCAUGUAUGUCAUGACAUGUAUUUAUAGGGUCGGGUUUUACAGCAUACCUAUUUAACUCCCUCCUAAUCAAGGACAAAGCUCGGGUAGAAGGCUCAUGCAUGAAUGCAAAUCGUGUUGUGUGUGUGUGUGCGAAGAAACAGAUUGACCUUUAACCAUUAUUCUCAUAUCACUUUAUCUUAUAAUCCCUGUAAUUAUUAAAAGUAAUAAAAUAACAAUAAUGAAAAAAUAAAUGCAUUAAACAAAAAUAUGUAAAAUAAAUACGUGAUACUAAAGGAAACACUAAAUUAUUUAAAACUUAGAAUAACAUAUGAUUAAUUAAUGGCUCGACUCUCUAAAGUUUGCUAGUGGAGUUGUCGUAUGUCGUAACAUGCAGGUUUGGGAACCCGUCUGCUAGACGUGGGUGGUAUUAAGGAGUAGCCACCAAUCUUUUUUAUCUAGGUACGAUUGGUCACCUAUUAAAUUUGUUCUAUUCAAUGGAGUUUUAAAUUGAUUUUAGAUCCAUCAAAAGAACGAUAAACUGGUCUGUGAAUUUUAGAGUUGGGUUUGGGAGUAUGGUUACACACGAGGAAGGAUUAGCACCCCCGUGACGCCCGUUCCACGAAUUGUACUAUUUAAUCAUAUGUUAUCCUAAACUAUUGAUUUUAUUCUUAUGUUUCCCUAAUUGUUAUUUAUUUUAUCUUUUAUUUUAUUAACAAAUCAAAAUAUUUUAUUUGGUUUUACGAGUGAGGUGUACAUAUGAUGAAAUCAUGAAAUGCAUGGCAAAGAAAAAUCGAAUAAUGCCAAAUGAAAACCUAUUAUUGAGGAUAUUUUUCGAAUCCGUCUACCAUAUUGGUAGGGUCAAGAGAUAUUCUCUCACCUAGAAAAUUACCAAAAAAACUCACAUUCGCAAGUUUAACAAGUAAAUUCCAUUAUCGGGAUAAUCAUUCGUAUUUAAAAAUAUUUUUCACAAAUGCAAAUCUUAGUAUGAGCAAAAGCAUCUUAUUAAGGAUAUUCUCUGAGCCCUCCCAUCGUACUGGUGGGACUCGGAGGUAUCCUUUCACCUAGGGAUUUUUUUUUUAAAGAACUCGCCUUUGCAAGCUCCCUCGAAAAGUCCCAUUAUCAGUGUUUGGACUCGUAUACAUAAUAUGUCUACAUGCCAUGACAUUUAAAUGAUGCAAUAAUGGUGCGAGAGGCAUUAUAAAUUUCGAUGUCCAUUAAUUACUCUCUAUAUUCAUUAUUUUUAUGAGUUUGCCAUCUUUGGAAAUUUUAUUUUUUACUAUUUGUUUAUCAUCAUGAAUAUCAUUAUUUAAUAUAAUCCUAUAUUUUUAAAACUACAUAUAUUUUAUCUAUUCCCUUUUGUAUUUAUUAUUAUUAUUAUUACUUCUUUUUUUCUUUUUGUUUCUAUAUUUUUGUUUGAUUAAUAACGAGGUUAAUAUAUUUUCCAUUUAUUUAGGAUUAGCAACAUUGGGACUCAAAAUUAAAACCCUCCCAUUGUACUGGUGUAGUAUUAAUUGAAAUCCCUAACUUAGAAAAAUUCAUUCGGGAUUGCGACUUCUCGCAUUCUAAGUGAAUAUUCCAUCAUCGAUAUUAAGUCAAAUAAUUAUCCUAUUUAUAUUAGUAAUUUUUUUAUCUAAUCUUAUUUUCAUCCUUUCUCCCUAUUUUACAUAAAGCUAUCUACUUCAACCAAUUUGAUACUUUCAUAUUUUGUUUCAUUACAUUUUAAUUUUAAUUUUUCCUAGUUCAUUUUCAUUCCCAUUUUAUAUCUAUAUAAGCUUACAUAACUAAGUAUUUUAUGAUUAUGUCUAACAAUUCACCUUUUCCCACAUUUUAUAUUUCUUCCUAGACAUAUUCUAUGUCACGACCCGGAACUCCUAUCGAGCCCGUGACAACCGCCGCGACGUCCUGAUAGACAUUCAUUACUCGAAAUGUCAAUCGAAACCUCGCAAGGCUUAACAUCAGUUUUUCUCACUUCUCCUACGAGUAUUAGUCACUAAAAUUAUGUUUUGAGAGAUUAUAAACUAUUUCCAAAUCAAAACAAUAGAAAAAUAAUUUUUUUCUCACAGAGGCAUUUUGGUCAUUUUUCCUCAUUAAUCUCAAAAUCCGUUAAAAAUGUAGUAUGCGAGUACAAAACGUAUAAUUCGUAAUAAAAAAUAAGUUUAAACAUCUAAAACCUUCAUUUAAAAUGAAAUUAUGAUUAUUUGAAUAUAAACUAAAAAAUAAAAGAAAUGUUCAAUAAAAUAUUCAAUAAAAUAUUCUAUUUUCUUAUAAAACAAUAUUUUUAGAGUUAUACGUAAAUAAAUUUUUUGUAGUAGCAUAAAAGCAAAAUAAAUUCAUACAUACUGUAAUACAGUAAGCCUGAGUAUUUAAUUUAAUUUAUAAUAACUAGUGGGCCCUCGAAUAACUAAAAGUAAGAAAAACUGUGAACCUAUAGUUUGGAGGAUGCAAAUCCAAUGGUAGCCUCGAUGAAAUCAGCUAUCUACAGCCUAUUCUGAGCCUGAAAUGGGUGGAAAGGAAGGUGGUGAGAUUAUAUAAUCCCAGUGAGUAAACAAAUACCAUCUAAAAUAUCUAAAGCCGAGUAAAUGGAGACAGAUAAAAUAGUUUAACAUAUUGUAAUUCAUCACCUUUCAACUUGUUUCAACCAAAUAAAAUCAAUUCAUAUAAAUCGAGUAAUUAACAUGGCUUAUGAAUUUCUUAAAAGUUUGGCUCGUGCCAAAAUCAUUCUCAUACCCAAUUAUCAAGGAUACCUUGAUCGAGGGCUAUCCCAACCGAGUCCGCCAAGGCUGUUAAAAAGUUAUGUACGUAUAAAUUAUGUUUUUAUUUUGAAAAUAUAGCCGUUCCUUGGCGUUGGCUGAGUUCACCCUCACGUGGUGGUUUGGCGUGAAGUGAACUCUAAAGUUAUACCUCGGGAGAUACCCUACUCGCCUCUCCAACAGAGGUAAAAUAUAACAGGAUUCUGUGCCUCUCUAAUAGGCUGGUCUAUAGAAAAUCCGCCUACUGCAGCAAGUUAAACCCACCAUACAAUAAAAUUUACAAUAGCAUGACAUGACAAUUAUUUUAUUUUAUUUUAUAGCUUUUCAAGGCAAAUAAACAAUUUAUACAUUUCCAACACAUUUAUCAAAUCAACCAUUCAUGCCAAUAUUGCCAUAAGCCAAUCAAUUGGAAUCAUGAAUUUACAACACACAAAAACAGUCUCCAAUUACUCUAUUUUCAAACCAUCAUUCAAUUUCAAGACAAUUUUUAAAAUCAUUUUAUUUAAACACAUUUUGUUUAUAAAAUCAAAAAAUUAAUCAUUUAAUUCAUUUUCCAUAAAAUUCACAAAAUCAAAUAAAACAUACUUUAGAUAAUUAAGAUGAUGAUAAGGUUACUCACUAUUUUGGGAGUCAAAUUCCAAGUACUCCAAUUCUUGAUCCUCGGGUACUAUCUCUUUACUUUUACCAGAAUACUCACCAUCUAGACAUAAUGCACAAUAAGCCAUUUACUACAUUGUGCUAAAUUGUUAUAAAACCAAUUCAGGCUUGAUACUAAUGUAUGAAAUGGGAUGCAAAUUGUUCGAUUAUUGUCUAAACACGGUAUUCUACACAAAUUCAAUUGUGUACCUAAAUUAAACGGUAUUGGUCUAAUUCGAUCUAUCACUCGAUUAAUUGGCCAAUACGUCCAAUUCAACUCCAAAUAAUUUCAUUUUUCUCCCAAUACUCCAAAUCAUCAAACACAAAUUAAAUAACUUAAAAUAGGGCAAAAUCAUCCUCACAUUUUCUCUUGAAAAAUUCGACCAUGGUGGGUGCAUCAAUAUUAUGAUUUUUCCUACUUGAUUUUCACACCAUAAAUCACUAAUUCCUAACCAAAUCACUUGAAAUAAAAUCAAAAUCAUCAUCAAUAUUCCACAUGGAGAAUUCGGCCAAUGAUGGGUGAUGGGAGAAAAUGAAUUUUUCUUGUUGGCUUUUCAUGCUACACAACACUAACUAACUAAAAACACUAAAAUAUCUUAAAAUCUAACCAAAUCAAGCAUCAAAACCUCUCUCUAAGUGUUCAGCCAGCAAGAUACCCAUCAUGAAAUCAUGUGAUUCAACCAUGGAAAAUGCAAAAGAAUGCAUGAGAAAGGUAGAUCACACGUCAAAAUCAAGAAAUUUUACCUUUGAUUGUUUGAUUACUUGAAAUCCACUAAUUUUCUCUUGAAUUUUCACCCUAGGGUUCUUGUUCUUUCUUUUCUUCCUUUGUUCUUCCUUUGGCCGGCCAUAUGAAGAGAAAUAGGCUGAUUUUGUGCUAAUUUAUAAGGAAAAUAACAAAUGGAUGAGAUUUUGACACAUGUCACCAUUCCAUUGGUUCAUGUGUCAUACUUAGUCAUUAAGCAAUCUCUCUCCACCACUUAAAUUUUCUCAAUUAUCUAUGAUAAUAUUGGGUAAAAUGCAUGUGCUGGACAAGUGUUGGGUGGUGUAAAAUUACAAUUUUGCCAUUAAGGUGGCAAAAUGACUAUUUUGCCCUUAUGCUCAAAAAAUUGCGAAAUUAAAAUUUUUCACUUCUCAGACUCAAAUUAUACUCCAAAUGAUCAAUCUUAGUAAAAAAUUUCAUCCAACACUCACAUCUUAACCUCAGGUGAUAAAAUGACCAUUUUACCCCUAGAUCAUGAAAAUUCAAAUUUGACUCCAAAUUGGUCCUCGAACUCCGAAUCACCAUUUUAAGUCAUUCUGGGGUUUUAAAAUUCUCAAUUUCAUCUUAAAAUCUCUAUUUGGACUAGUUCAAGACUUAAUUCAACUUGAUUGUACCAUUUGGUAUAAUACCGUCCUUUAACGGUUUUCGAGGUACCCAAGUAAGCAAAUAUGCAUUCUUAUGUAAGAAUGGCAUAAUAAACAUAUUGUAGAGUCAAGCUUGACAUUCUAUAUUUAAAUAUACAUUCCUUUUCCAUAUAUAUAUAUUUUCAAUCUAAAUAAAUCUAUUUCUACCACUAAUUAUUUACUUUUCCUAUAUUUAAUAUCUAUCAAAAUCUAAUUUUUAAUUAAAUGUUUAUUUAUUUCUCUAUUUUUUAUCUACCUAAAUCUAUUUUUAUAAGUAAAUAAUUUUUUCUACCUAAUUUAACUUUUUUCUAUGUAACUGAAUAUAUAUUGUUUAUUUUUCUAUUUACUCAAAUCUAUUUUAUAUUGCUAAAUAUUUUAUUUUUAUUCUUAUCUAUUUUUAUAUUUCCCUAUUUUAGUAAUUUUUUUCCCAAUACUUCUAAAACUUAUACUGCAAAAAAAAAAAGAUUUUUCCAUAUCAUUUUUCAUAAAACAGUAUUUUUAUUUUUUAAAAAUAAAAUCAUUCAAAACCAAUAUCAAAAGUUCAAGCCCAAUGACUCAAGAGUCCAUAACAUACAAAUGCUUAGGCUAAGAUUAGCCCAUAAAGGUUGGAACCUGGGGAUGCCAGCAACUGCUCCAAAAGCCCCUUCCCUUCUUCAGCUGAACGCAUCGCUUGGUACGCAAGGAAGAAGACUUAUUCCCACUAAAACAAUGCUAUUUUGGUGGUAUUCUUGCUGCAAAGAAGCCUUUAACAAAACUGUGCCGUUUUGGCAAAUUAAUCUCCCAAAACCUUUGUCACAGCCCAAUCUCGGGUCAUUAUCGGCAUAUGGGCCCAAUAAGCAUAGCCCAUUAGGCUCAAGCAAGCCUUUCUAUUAAAACCUAUUCAUUAACCCAACUAUCACCCAUCUUUCUUUAAGAUUCAUAAUUCGUAAUUUUUCAAUAAUAAUUUCUUUGGAUAUAAAUCCUGGCCAUCAAACAUAUACCAUUCUUAAAAUAGUGUUAUUACUUGCCAACUUAUGCGAUAGAUUAAUCAAGCUAAACAUACAAUGAUUACAAUAAAUCUCACAAUUUACAUUUAACAACCAUAUACACAUGCAAAAGACCCUUGACUACCAGCGGAGUUACUCUAGGCGUGGGUACUAUCACUGAGUGUCAUUGUAAACCUACCAGUGACAAGUAUGAAUGAGCACCUCAACCUAGGAUCCAACUACCUUCGAAUCUGAAAACCAAAACAUGAAGUUGAAAAGAAUGAGUAUAAACCCAGUGAGUGAACAAAGGAAGGGAACAAGCAAACGAUAUGGAAGGUUUUAUGAAAUGUGACGCACUUAUGUUAAAAACAAUUGCAAUUUAUAUUUCAUAAACCAAACUUGAUGCUAUGUUGUCUUUUAACUCAUUUUGAAAACAUUUAGAAGUUCCAACCUUCAACAUUCAAUAUAAUCACAUUUCCAUUUCUCAAACAUCUCUACUCUACAAGAUAUGUACACAUGGUAUAAGAAUUCAUGUAUGUAUAUAUAUAUAGAUAUAGAUAUUUUCAAACAUACAUCAAAUACAUCAAGCUCACUCCUAAAAAUAGUCAACAAGGUUCGAUACAUACAACCACCAGCCUCAACUCAAGUCAUGUGCACUUUCACAUAGCACAUAGUUAUCAUCGUCAUGUGCACUCGUACACCACACAUAGUUAUCAUCGUCAUGUGCACUCCUACACCGCACAUAGUUAUUAUCAUCAUGAGCUCCCAUAUCGAACACCACCAUUACCGUCAUGUGCACUCCCACACCACACACGCACGGUUAUAACUAUCAUUCAAUAAUACCUUUCAAGGCAUAACAUAUAUAACAACACGUAAUAAGAAUCUUUGCAUAUUAAUACCUUCCACAUAGUUCAUUAGUUUUGGUCAUAUACAUAGUUUCACAAUCCAACAUCCAAGGAAAAUAAUAUUAACCAUCAUACCAUUAGUUUAAAACAUCCCAAGAUUCUCAAUGCAUCACACGCCACAAUUCAAUUGGCAAUUUAAUAUAAUAUUUCAAACACGUGAUUCAUCACAUUAUACGUUUCACAACAUAGGGAUAUCACUCAACAAAGGCUUGUUCCCAUGCAUAUUUUAAAAGAGUCAAAUAAGAAUAUUCAAUUAUUUUAUUCAAGCACAUAUGCAUUUGUCCAAAACAUUUUAAAUGCAAGUUCACUCACUCGUUUUUUUUUAUCAACUUCAAACCUCAACUAGUGCUUCAAAUGGAAAUGUGGGGUCUCGUUGGAACCUACUACACACAAUUAGCAUCACCACCAACCUAAUUCACAUGAAUAUGAAUCCAAAUGCUAUUUCUAUAGUUAAAAUUUACUAGUUCUUCUUAACUAGUUUUCAAUUACCAUUUAACUAGUCAACCUAAUACUAAUGCCACCAUUUUCAUAACACUUCAUUUAUUACUUCCCGUUUCCAGCACUAUAUCAUCCUUAUAAUUUAUAACUCUAAACUUAAUUAAUUCCCUUAGUGACAUUUUAUACCAACACAAUGCACUUUAUUAAUUUAGUCAUCCACACCACUAGUUAAACCAUGAAUUACCAUAAUUAUUAAUCAUUUCUUCCCCCAACAAUCUCAACCAAUCAAAACAGCCCUUAAUUCCCAUUCUAAUUAUCUAUUUACUUGUAAAUUAAAAAAGCCAACAUUCUAGUCAUUAACUAGUCAUUUACUUUCACUACUUAGUCACACUAGUAAUAAAUACUCACCUUUUCACCACAAUAUAAUCCAUCAACAAUAAAACGACCCACAAAUCUAAUUAUUAACCAUUAUUAACAAACUUAAAAAUUAACCAUAACCCAUUACUCACCUUGGUGGACUUGUAGUUAAUUUUCCUUGGUGAGGAUAGCUUUUGAAGGUGUUGUGAGGACUAAAAUGAAGAAUAAGUCUUUCCAGAGUUUUUUAUUUUCAAGCUAGUUUAAGGUGUUUCUCUCUCUAAAAACAUUCAACUAGUGAAAGAAAAUACGGAGGGAAGACUUUUGAGCAGAAAAAGUGAAGAGCACGAAAAUCCUAUGAAAAAAUGUACAAAAACAUGAAAUUUGGAGUUAAUAUGAGAAAGUUAUGAGAUUUCAAGAAUGGCCUCCUUGGAAGAAUGAAGGGUCUGCAGCGGGGAGAAGAAAUGAGAGGAAGAAGAAGAAAAUGAUGGAAAGUUAGGGUAUUUAUACAUAGGGUUGACAAAAAUUUCAAAUAUUUAGGAAAAUGCCAUUAAUAAGUUGACUUUGUUUUCUUUUUCUUUUUUGUGCAAUUAUUUUACUUUUUUGACAUUGAGAAAAGGUCCACAAUAGAUUAGAGGUACUCGAAUUAAUGAAAACUUAAAAAUUUAGACUCGAGAUCUAAAAUAACCAUUUUACCCCUGAGGUGGAAAUCUCUCUCUCUUUUUCAUAUUUAUAUAAGAAUAAUUUAUUGAAUCCCAGAUAUAAAAUAUUUGCUAAGACUCACCAAGAAAAAGAUGAAACUAUCCUUGGUCCACGUCAUCACUAUUACGCUAUUUUACGUGUAUAUUAAAAUUUGGAUAUCACAUUCUCUCCCCCUUAAUGUAAAUUCGUCUUUGAAUUUUAUUAAGCUUGAUUAAUCUGUAUCUUUCUAAAAGGUGUAUAUGUGAACUCCCACCUUAUCCCGACUUAUUGAGUUACUUUUCCACUUGCGUACUUAUGCUUUAACACCUCAUGGGAGCCACUUAAAAGUAUCAACUUUGUAAGCUUUAUACACUCGUGACAUCAAUCCUUAGUCGGCUAUGAUUUCUUGCUCAUUAUACCACUGCUUUAUAAUUGAACUUAAUCGAAUCAUGCUCCUAACGCACACCUCAAUAUCUUAUUCAAUGUAACCUCAAAGUAUUGAAAUAGUCUUUAUCCUCGAACAUACACAUUUGGAAUAAUUCAAGAUAAUUGCACAAGGCAUCUGAAAUUGUGCAUUUACCAGUCAUUUAGAAGUAAUCCAGAGGUAUUAAACUUCACUAGGGACCUAGCUUGGAGCAUCAUGCACCGAAAAAAUAAACAUACAUAUAUAUGUAUGUAUCGUAUGUGUAUGGUUGGGACCUUAUUGCAUGAUUAAGUUGCUUCUUGAUUUUGAAGGCUAAUUUGUGGUUAUACCAUUCUAAGGUGUGAAGUUUGAAAUUCAAUAAUUGUAUUGAUGUUAAGAAAUGUUCUGGUGGAGUCUUGUUCAUGAGCCUGCAAUUGCAAGCACACUUCAAUGAUUAAAGAAAGAUAGUACAUUGUUAAUACACUUGGUGGAUUUAGGAAAUUAUAAAACUGAUGAAAGAAAUAUCUAUUAUUAUCUAGAAAAGAUCAAUCUUUUACAAUUAUUUGAUGGGCAAUUCUGUUUCAAAUGAACACCUUGAUUUUAAGUUUGUUUCUUACUCUGAUUAAAUAUAUUUGAUGUGAGUUUAAUUAAGGGGCUAGAUGUGGAUAGCCAGGAAUGGCGUGGAAAUAACUUGGUAGGUUAAUAACUACUGGUGGACUGAGAUAUGAUUAGUAACAAUAUGAAGCCAAAAAUGUGGCAUGAUGAAAGCUUAUGUACACAAUUUAAGAUGUUAGUGAAUAGAUAUGCAUGCAAUGCUUAAAGAAUGGGAUGCUAAGCCAUGUGCUGUGAGCAUUUAAAUGGACUAUGACUUUAUGUGAUUAUAGGAAUGAUGAUAAAUGGUGCACCAAGGGCUUGGUAGCUAAGCCACAGGUCAUGUGGCAAUAUUUCGGUGACGUAUGAACUGCAUAUGAUGCAUCGAUUGCAAAGCGUAACUAUAUUGAUGUGAGUGGUGUUUUUGAAAACAUUGAGAGGUCAAUAUAGAUGAUUAAUGAUGGUACAAAUAAUUAUAAGGCAUGUUAUUAAAUAUUUUCUAUUAUAUUAUGGAAAUCUAGAUUUUAUCAUUGGUACAAUGAAACUACAUUUGAGGAAAUGAUCGUGUCUUGAUUCCAGAUCUUUCUUAGACGUAAUAGUACAUGUUAUGACAUUGUGGACUUGUCUAUAAGAAUAGGAAGUUGUUAUAAUGUGUAAACCAAAAUCUUAGAGGUCGCACGAAACUUAAAACCUCAACAAGAAUGUUAAAAAAAGGUUGAUUACAAGCCUUGAAAGGUGAAGAAGUUGGGUCAUGCUAUGUGAGACCAAUUACAACUUUCGAUAGAGAAGAGGGUUAUGGGUAAAUGAGUUUAGUAUCGCACUUGUCAAACUUGCUUAAGGUGUCUAUGUACCUACAUUAAAGAAAGAUAAUCCCAAUAUAGGCUAUUCAUGGGAAAACAAGCUAAGAUAGAUUGCACUUGAAGAAGUGGUUCCCACAAGGUGUUAAAGCAUAAGUACGCAAGUGGAAAGGUAACUCAAUAAGUCAGGAUAAGGUGGGAGUUCACAUAUACACCUUUUAGAAAGUUAAGGAUUAAUCAAGCUUCAUAAAAUUUGAGUACGAAUUUUUAUUAAGGGGGAGAGAAUGUGAUACCCCAAAUUUUAAUAUACGCAUAAAGUGGUGUAAUAGUGGUGACAUAGAUGAAGGGUAGUUUCAUCUUUUUCUUGGUGAGUCUUAGCAAAUAUUUUAUAUCCGGGAUUCAAUAAAUUAUUCUUAUAUAAAUAAAAAAGAAAAGAUUUACACCUUAGGGGUAAAAUGGUAAUUUCAGGUCAAGAGUCUAAAUUUUUAAGUUUUCAUAAACUCGAGUACCUUUUACCUAGUGUGGACCUUUUCUCAAAGUCAAAAGAGUAAAAAGAUUGCACAAAAAAGAAAAAGAAGACAAAGUCUAUUUAUUAAUGGCAUUUUCGUAAAUAUUUGAAACUUUUGUCAACCCUAUGUAUAAAUACCCCAACUUCCCAUCAUUUUCUUCUUCUUCCUCUCAUUUCUUCUCCCCGCUGCCUGCCCUUCAUUCUUCCAAUGAAGCCAUUCUUGAAAUCUUCAUAACUUUCUCAUAUUAAUUCCAAAUUUCAUGUUUUUUGAACACUUUUUCAUAAGAUUUUUCGUCCUCUUUCGCUUUUUUUUUAUAUCCAAGAUCAUGACAAAAUCACACAUCAUGAUAAACGAUAAUUCCUAAUAAACAUUAUCAAUUCAAAUGGCAUCUUGUACCUUGCUAAAAAAAACUAGGGUUACCAUUCAACAAUCAAUCACAUUAAUUGGUAACCAUUUCAUAGUACUGUAAAAUAUGUUUAUUGUUAGGUCUUGUAAUUGCUUGUACCAUUAAUGUCUUUUUAUGUCAACCUUUCAUAAUUGUAUAAGGCGACCAAUCACGCCACUAAGAUGAAUAUCUUUCCUUAAUCAUCAUAAUGCUAAUCUACAUUUGUCAUACAUGAAGAUUCCAAUACGCAUCAAGUCAUGAAAAUAACUACUUCAUAAUUCUUUUAAGUCAUAUAAAAAUAAAAGUCAAACUCUUAAAUCCUUCAUACAGAUAGCAACUACUACUUAAUUCAAACCGCAUUUGUAUAGACUUAAAGUUAUACGAAAUUCAAUAAAAGUAUUAGGUUUUACUAUGAUCAUCGUUGCCUUAAUCUGAACUCAUCGACAGAUCAUAAUCCGAGUCAUCCUCUGUCUCUCGAGGAUUCCCCACAUACUCCUCAUUCUCUCCUUGUUGUUUCUCCACAUCACUUUGCAAGUUGAGAGUUGUGACACCUCUCUCUGUGAAAGGAGGGAAGUCCCAAACAAUUGACACCUUUCUUGGACGAUAACCUUUUGCAACUACCUAUUUCAUAUUUUCUUUAACUUUUUCCUCAAGAACUUUUUCCUUACUUUUUCCCUUUCAAGGCUUUCCCAACUACGAAGUAUUAUUUGCGCUCUUGGUGGAAUCCAUCCAAUGGGAAUUCGGGGCUGGCCACUUUCUCGACUUCUUUGCUUAAGGCGCCAAUGGCUCUUAGUAGUGGAAUUUAGUGAUCCCUCGCUAGUACUAUAAGGGGUAUCUUGACUACUACUUCUUCUAGACAUGGCAUGUGUAACAAGCGCACCUCCAAACUUGUACACAACCAAGCAUCAAUUACUUAGUCAUUUAUACAUUAUAGGAAUAGAUAGGUUUUUUGAUGAAUUAGGGGCCUAUGUAGCCUCCCGUUCUUGGCUUGUGUUGCGUACCCACAAUCCAAGAAUAAGACUAUACAUGGAUUUCAACAAUUUCACUGACAGAAACAAGAAUCCAUAGGACUCACCUAAAUCUAGGGCUCUGAUACCAACUUUGUCACAGCCCAAUCACUGGUCAUGAUUGGCACACGGGCUUAAUAGGCAUAGCCCAUUAGGCCCAAGUAAACCUUUCUAUUAAAACUUGUUCAUUAACCCAACUAUCACCCAUCUUUCUUUAAGAUCCAUAAUUUGUAAUUUUUCAAUAAUAAUUACUUUGAAAAAAAAUCCUGACCACCAAACAUAUACCAUUAUCAAAAUAGUGUUAUUACUUGCCAACCUAUGAUGACAACAUUAAUCAAACUAAACAUACAAUGAUUACAACAAAUCUCACAAUUUACAUUUAACAACCAUAUACACAUGCAAAAGACCUAUAACUACCAGCGGAGUGACUUUGGGCGUGGGUACUAUAACUGAGUAUCAUGGUAAACCUACCAAUGAUAAGUAUGAGGGAGCACCUCAACUUAGGAUCCAACUACCUUUGAAUCUAAAAACCAAAACAGGAAGUUGAAAAGAGUGAGUGUAAACCUAGUGAGUGAACAAAGGAAAGGAACAAGUAAACGAUAUGAAAGGUUUUAUGAAACGUGAUGCACUUAUGUUAGAAAAAAUGCAAUUUAUAUUUCAUAAACCAAACCUGAUGCUAUGUUGUCUUUUAACUCAUUUUGAAAACAUUUAGAAGUUCCAACCUUCAACAUUCAAUACAAUUACAUUUCCAUUUCCCAAACAUCUCUACUCUACAGGAUAUGUACACAUGUGUAUAAGAAUUCAUGUAUAUGUAUAUAUUAUGUAUAUAUAGAUAUUUUCAAACAUACAUCAAAUACAUGAAACACACUUCCAAAAAUAGUCAACAGGAUCUGAUGCAUGCAACCACUGGCCUAAACUCAAGCAUGUGCAGUCUCACAACGCACAUAGCUAUUAUCGUUAUGUGCACUCCCACACCGCACAUAGUUAUCAUCGUCAUGUGCACUCCCACACCGCACAUAGUUAUUAUCAUCAUGAGCUCCCAUACCAUACACCACCAUUACCAUCAUGUGCACUCUCACACCGUAUACGCACGGUUAUAACUAUCAUUCAAUAAUACCUCUCAAGGCAUAGCGUAGAUAACAACACGUAACAAGAAUCUUUGCAUAUUAAUAACUUCCACAUAAUUCAUUAUUUUUGGUCAUAUACAUAGUUGCACAAUCCAACAUCUAAGGAAAAUAAUAUUAAUUGUCAUACCACUAGUUUAAAACAUCCCAAGAUUUUCAAUGCAUCACACGCCACAAUUCAAUUGGUAAUUUAAUAUAAUAUUUCAAACACGUGAUUCAUCACAUUAUACGUUUCACAACAUAGGGAUAUCACUCAACAAAAGCUUGUUCCCAUGCAUAUUUUAAAAGAGUCAAAUAAGAAUAUUCAAGUAUUUCAUUCAAGCACAUAUGCAUUUGUCCAAAACAUUUUAAAUGCAAGUUCACUCACCCAUUUUUUUAUCAACUCCAAACCUCAACCAGUGCUCCAAGUGAAAAUGUGGGGUUUCGUUGGAACCUAUUACACACAAUUAGCAUCACCACCAACCUAAUUCACAUGAAUAUAAAUCCAAAUGCUAUUUCCAUAAUUAAACUUUACUAGUUCUUCCUAACUAGUUUUCAAUUACCAUUUGACUAGUCAACCUAAAACUAAAUCCACCAUUUUCAUAACACUUCAUUUAUUACUUCCAUUUUCUAACACUAUAUUAUCCUUAUAAUUCAUAACUCCAAACUUAAUUAAUUCCCUUAGUGACAUUUUACACCAACACAAUGCACUUUAUUAAUUUAGUCAUCCACACCACUAGUUAAACCAUGAAUUAUCAUAAUUAUUAAUCAUUUCUCCCUCAACAAUCUCAACCCAUCAAAACAGCCCCUAAUUCCCAUUCCAAAUAUCAAUUUACUUGUAAAUUAACAAAGCCAACAUUCUAGUCAUUAGCUAGUCAUCUACUUUCACUACUUAGUUACACUAGUAAUAAAUGCUCACCUUUUCACUACAAUAUAAUCCAUUAGCAAUAAAACAACCCACAAAUCUAAUUAUUAACUAUCAUUAACAAAUUGAAAAAUUAACCCUAACCCAUUACUCACCUCGGUGGACUUGUAGUCAAUUUUCUUUGGUGAGGAUAGCUUUUGAAGGUAUUGUGAGGACUAAAAUGAAGAAAAAGUCUUUCAAGAGUUUUUUUAAGCUAGUUUAAGGAGUUUCUCUCUCCAAAAACAUUCAGCUAGCUAGAGAAAGUGCGGAGGGAAGACUUUUGGGGGGUUUUGAGCUGAAAAAGUGAAAGAGUAUGAAAAAUCCUAUGAAAAAAUGACAAAAACAUGAAAUUUAGAGUUAAUAUGAGAAAGUUACGAAGAUUUCAAGAAUGGCCUCCUUGGUAGAAUGAAGGGUUUUCAACGGGAAGAAGAAAUGAGAGGAAGAAGAAGAAAAUGAUGGAAAGUUAGGGUAUUUAUAUAUAGGGUUGACAAAAAUUUUAAAUAUUUACGAAAAUGCUAUUAACAAGUUGACUUUGUCUUCUUUUUCUUUUUUGUGCAAUUUUUUACUCUUUUGACAUUGAGAAAAGGUCCACAAUAGAUUAGAGGUAUUCGAGUUUAUGAAAACUUAAAAAUUUAUACUCAAGAUCUAAAAUUACUAUUUUACCCUUAAGGUGAAAAUCUUUUUUUUUUAUAUUUACAUAAGAAUAAUUUAUUGAAUCCCAAAUAUAAAAUAUUUGCUAAGACUCACAAAGAAAAAGAUGGAACUACCCUUGGUCUACGUCAGUUCUAUUAUGCUACUUUACGCGUAUAUUAAAAUUUGGGAUAUCACAAUCUUACCUAUAAAAACCCCUUUUCGCUUUCUCUCUUCCCUUUUCUUCCUCCACUUUCUCUCUUUAGCAGCUGCCCUCUCUCUUCCUCUUCCAAGCCUAAAAAUCUUGCUACCAACCAUCACCACCAUGCCACCAUUUGUACCAUUGCCACUCUUCGACCAUCACCUCCCUUCUCUCUCGAUUUUCACCCUCACUUCAAAUCUUAACACUCAGCCCAAAACAUCACCUUUCUCCCUCACCCUCAUUGCUUCCUACUUUACUUCUUCUUUGCAUAUUUUUUACUUUCUGUUCUAUGACAUUUUUUUAUUUUCGUCUAAGGCUAAUAGGGUUGGAAAGUUAGGAUUUUUGGUUGAUUUUGGUUUUUUUGUGAAAAUUGGUCUCUCUCUAGGGUUUUUUAUUGUGAAAUUCAAUCGCCUUUUGAUUUGGGAAGAGGCUUUAUAGCUACCCUCAAGUGCUGGGGAUAUAGUUGGGAUGGCGGAUGUGGCUUGCCGAACGCAAUUCUCACGCUUGGUAUGGUGCAUCUGCACCUUAUUUGUUUGCUGGGCAUGUUUUUUUGUCGCCAUGCCCAGCUCAUCCUCUUCUUCUUUCUUCUUUCUUUUCCUUUCUCUCUUCUUUUUUAUUUUUUUGAUUUUCAAAUCUUUUAUUAUUUUUUUAAAAAAAUUGGUGUCUACACAACCCAAAAUCAUUUUAUUGCUGCUUUUGUUAUUUAUUAUUUAUUUUCGAAAGAAAAAAGUAGAUAGUGCAUUUGGUUAUAAAUGAAAAUAAUAUUUUUUUUGAAAUGAUUAAAAUUAUAAUUAUACUAAUUUAUAAGAGCAUAAUCCAUGCUUUUACUUUGUUAUAUAUAGAACAAUUAGAAUUAUUAAUGUGCUAUUUCCGAUUCAUCCAUCAAUGUGAACUAAUAAGAUUUUUCAAAAUUUAUCAGAUGGCUUUCUGUCAGUUGUAUCAUUGGAAAAAACGAUGGCAGGAGAUUGGAAAGAAUAUUUAGAAUGUAAAGUAUGAGGUUCAUAAUUCAUAUAUGAUGCAAAUACAUGUUAUUUUUAAAACCACAAAUGGUGAGCUUGAAACAUUUCAAACUUUUUUAUUACAGUGAUCAAGUGAAGGUUACUAGUUACCAUGGAACACCUAAUAGAAAGGCUUAGUACUUUCCACCAUACCACAGCACACCUUAUUCCUUCCCUUUAAUGAGUUGUAUUUGUAGGGAAGCUCCGGAGCACAACUGUGUCAACGGUGAUACCAGCCCCUAAUCCCAACAAAAAGCCCCACUCUAGACCUUCUCCCGUGGCCUUUCCUACCUCCAUGGACCUCCUUCUCAUCUCAUCCAGAAUAAAGAACACGGUUGCAGAACUCAUGUGUCCAAAUUCUCUAAGCACAUGUCGAGUUGUUAAAAGUUUUUCCCUUUUCAGCCCAAGUUUGAUUUCAAUCUGGUCGAGGAUUGCAUUCCCCCCUGGAUGAACUAUCCAAAAGAAUGAGUUCCAAUCAUUAUUGCUUAUUGGGCUUAAUGCUUCCGCCAAGCACUUGUCAAUGUUAUCAGCAAUCAAUUUUGGAACAUCCCUUGACAGGUUAAUACUGAGGCCUGCUUCAUGUAUGUGUCCUUCAAUUGCACCAUGCGAGUCAGGAAUAAUAUUCUCUGAUGCGGAAACAAUUUGAAAGAGUGGCCUUUCCUUUAAGGCAUUAGGGUCAGCACCAAUAAUCAUAGCCGCUGCACCAUCACCCAAAAUGGCAUUGCCAAUGAGCGAAGGUGUGUCAUGUUCAUUGGGUGCACGAAAAAUACCAAGCAAAAUUUCAGAGCUGACGACAAGAACUCGUGCACCGGCAUUGUUUUCAGCGAUGUCCUUGGCCAUUCGGAGGAUGGCGCCGCCAGCAUAGCAGCCUUGGAAGUACAUCAUCACUCUCUUGACUGAUGAUGGUAGGCCAAGCAGCUUUGUAAGACGAUAAUCUGCUCCAGGCAUGUCCACACCCGAAACUGCAGAAAAUAUGAGGUGUGUGAUCUGAGAUUUUGGUUGUCCCCACUCCUGGAUCGCUUUUGAUGCUGCUUCCAUGGCAAGUUUAGGUACUUCAGCGGCAAGAAUUUGUUGACGUAUGUCAAGAGAUGGGCUGCUGUGGUGCUGAUGUUGGGAUUCUUAUUAAUAAUUUCUUCAGUGAGGACAAAGUGGCGUUUGCUUAUCAUUGAUUUCUCACCUGUUUGAUUUAUAAGUAACCAUCAUAAUAUAACAACAUAUGCCAAAAAAAAAAGAAGGAAAAAUCAAAAUGUAGUGACUAAUGAAUUUUGCUAUCUAAGUAGAAAUCAGAUAUGCGUAAUAAUCCUUACAUAGCUUUAUACUUAAAAGCUGUAGUCAUAAUUUAUAAUGAAAAAUUGAAAAAUACAUUUUUUUUAUAAUUUUUUUAAUACGAGUGAAAAUUGAAUGAUUAACCGUAUCAUGAAUUUUGAUGACUAUAAUAAUGUUUAUACAUAUAUAUAUAUAUAUGAUUAAACUUUGUCAACUUAUUCUUCAAAAAAACUCAUCAUCAACUACAUACUUACAUAUACGUUUGAAUUUUUCUUUCAAUUGUGUCAUAUGCUCGCUUUUAGUGACUCUAAAAUAAUAAUCAGGAAAGUCAGCUUGAGAGAUACAAUAAGCCGCAGUUGCUUUGCCAAUGGAAAGAAUUGUUGCCAGGCUUUGCGCUGGUUUCCUCCUUCCAAAAUUCUCAGGUAAAGCCAUUGCUGUCAACCUGGUGGUAUAGAAGAACUAUGGAUACUCAAAGCAGGAAUGUGAUGGAAAAAAGGAAAAAUGCUGGAUUUAUAUAGUAAGUCUAUAAGUUGUAGAAAAUAGGUUAUCUAUUUUGGGUGUAUCCGUAUCCAAUUAUGAUGAGAGAAAAAGGGUUAGUAUUUUAUUAUUAAUUAGAUUAAUGUGGUGGCAGUGGCACUAGGAAGAGAGAUGGUUAGGCAGGAAGGUUUUUGCACAGCAUAGGGAAGGCUUGAACUACCCUGUGCGACAAGCCAUGACUAGUCCGUAUCCAUUCCGCCAGGUAUCUCAUUUUUCUGAAGUCCCAAUUAUGCUUUAUAUAAAAAAACCUAGAUAGCAAAAUACCAGAAAACUUAUGUUAAAAUAUGGGAAAUAACUUUAAUACCCUUAAUAUUAGAAUUAUUAUAGUUUAGAUCUAGACUAGAAGUCAAAACAACAACCACCGUCAACAAAACAUUCAACCAGCAUUAGUAAAUCCAAAUAGAAAUUACAAAUCACUAAAAACAAAAAUCAAUAAAAAAAACUAAAAAAAUAAAAUACAAAAGUAAUUGAAAAAAAAACAAAAAAAAUACAAACCCAAAAAGGAAGAAAAUGUGCUCUGUCAAUUUUGAAAAACUUUAUGAGUUUUAGGAAAAAGAAGAGAUUUAAGGUUAAAGCGAGAAAGAAGAUUGUCAAAUGAGAGAGAAAAAUAAUUAGUGAAAGGGCAUGAAAGGGAGAGAGGGAGGGGAAAUUGGGAAAAGUUAAUUUUGAGAGACAAAAACGGGGAAGGUAUCUGAUAGAGACAGAAAAAGAAUUAAUUAUUUUACAAUAAUAAAAAAAUAUAAAAAUAAAAAAUCAAAUAUAUCAUUUUUAAUGAAUUGAUUUUUAUUUUAAAAGUUAAAAAAACACAAUGCAUACUAUACAAUGUAAAAAUUUAUUAAUAACGUUGAAACACUAAACAGAUUCUUUAAAAAAAUAAGUACUUUAAAAUAAUUAUUUUAGAUUUAUUAUUACUCUUAUUAUUUAUAAUUUUUUAAUUAAAAAUUGUUCCUUAUUAUUAUUAUCAUUAUUUAUAAAAUUUUUUUAUUUAACAUUAAUUUUUUAUAAAUAUUGGAAAAAGAAAAGGUAGCCCGACGUAGCGGGGCACCAUUCUGGUUACUAUUUAAACUAUAAUUAAUAAAUGUAUUAAAAUUAAUUAUUAAGAAGGGCCUAGGGGUUGGGGGGAGGGGGGUGAUUAUGGCAUGAUAAGCAGUUAAACUGUACAAACAAGAUUAGACCUAUCCAAAGAGUAGUAUAUCCCCUAAGCCUACACGCUUAGUCCCAAUUCUAGAUUUAGAUUUUCUUAGUGUCUAUUUGGAUUUAUUUUUUUUAGUUUAUUUAUCUCAUAAAAGCAAAAAUCAAACCAAACAUAAUUUUUCAAAAAAUUCUUAAAAAAUAAAAAAAUUUAAAAAAACAGCUUAAAGAAAAGCUCCAAGGAGGAGCUUUUUCUUCUCUUCUUUUAAACACACAUUAAUUUUUCAAGAAAUACUCCUCUCUCAACCAAUCUCUCUCUCCUCUUCUUGCCUUUGCAAAUCACCAUUUUCUAAUGCAAAUUGUGAUCUCCCUCUCUUCUACCUUUCUCUACAAAAAACUAUGAAAAAAAAAAAACUGAAGACUCAACAAUAGAAUACCAAGAUUUAAAAUUUUUUUGUUCUUACAAAGAUUAAGAGAAAAAAAAUUUAAAUUUAAAAUUGCGUUCAUAUACUAUUUAAAAGUUUUCUUUCUUUUUCAUCAAAAAGGAUUUUAAUGUCAAAUACACUAUUUUCUCUUUUCUCUUCUUUUUUUUGAAAUUAAAGUCUCAUAGUCUGAUUGUUUGCUAGAUAAACAAAAAUCUAUUACUAUUACUACUAUACAAGUUUGAGAGUUAUUCCGUUUCUUUAUUGAUUUCUUUAAUUUUAACAUUUGAAAUCAUAUAUAAACUUAAAGUGUUCCAUUGUAGUUUAUUAAGUGAUUGAAGAUGGCAUGAAUACCCUUUAUGGUAAUUUUAAUCGAAAUUAAAGUUUAUAUAAUUUAUUUUGUUAAACAGUUUACCAAACAGUUUUAACUUAAUUUUAAAAAUUAUUAUUUUUUAUAAAAGUUUCAUAAUAGCUUUUGAGCUAAAAUAAGCUAGGCUAAACAUGCUUUUAGUGUUGUGUGGUUCAAAAUUAUUAUUAAUAUAUUUGUAUUUAGUUUGAACUUUUAAAUUAUACUAAUAUAAAAAUAUUUUUUAUUAUUUUAAUAGUAAAAUAUUUUGUGCAUAUUAGUUUUGGCUCGAAGUUGAUUCAAAUUACUUUAAUAUAUAUAUAUAUAUAUAUAUACAGUUAAAAUUUUGAGAAUGUGUAUAUAUUUGUCUUUAGUUUCAAGAUAACCAAUGUUAUAAAUUUAGGGUUAAAUGUUCAAAUUGGGGUUAAAGAUUUGGAUAUUUUUUCAAUUAAAGACUAAAUGUUUCAAUUGUAAAAAUUAAGGUCUAAACAUUUUCGGUUCUUUACAAUUAAGGACUAAGGUGAGAGUAUUUAGCGCGUGUAGGACACAUGCAUGGCGUGGACUGUCAAGUCUUUUCUGUUAGAAAGUCUUUUUUGUCAUGUUAAAAUGGUUUAAAUUAUAUCAUGGCGUGUAACAACUUUUUCAUCAUAGCAUGUAAUAAUAAAAUUUUUUAAUAUAACGUGUAACAAUUAAAUCUUCAACAUGACGUGUAACCAUGGGCAGACCCACAUUAGAAGGAGUGGUGUCACACGACAUCACUCACUUCUUAAAAUGUUUUAGUUUUUAUAUUAUUUAUCUAAAAUUUAGGAUAAUUAAUAUACUAAUUAAACUCAUUAUUUUUUUUACAAUUUUAUAGAGAGUGAGGUCAAAGACUCCAAGUAAAAGUGAUUUAUCAAAAAGUAAUUUAUAAAUUACUAUUUAAAUACUAUAAGAAAAGAAAAAAAAUUUCUUCUAUAAUUUAAGAUUUUAUUAAAAAAAAUCAAAACCUAAACUACUCACCUUGUCUAAAAAUUCAAGUCCUUCCCUUUCUCGGUCAUUGAUUGUGUUUUUCACUCUCUCAAAACAACUCAUUUACGCUUCAAUUAUAAGUAAUUUUCAACCCAAAUUAAGUUUUUAAAUAUUUCAUAUCCAAAUAUUUUUUUGAUUAGUUUGAUAAUUUGGGUUCAGAGUUAUAAUCUAGCUAAUAGAAAAUAGUAUUGCAUGUCAAAUAAUAUCAUGAAAUUGUCAGCCUUUUUUCUGAUUUAUUUUGUAGAUAUAUUAUUUGAUUUUUGUAUUUAACUUUAGGUGGUUUGUGGAUGCUUAUAUUUAAUUUUGAUCCAUGAAUAGAAAAUUGUCAUAUUGUUAGUUACUAAACUUGAUAAUUUGCUAUGUAACAUUAUAUUUUAUUAAAUUUUAAUAUUUUAAUUUAUACUAAUGAAUAGUAAUUUUUGACAAAUUUUAUAAUUUUAAACAAAUAAGACAUGGAAAGAUAUUUUAAAAGAAAAUAACUUGUCUCACAAGACUCAAAUUGACAACAAAAAAAAUUCUACUAAUGAUGAUACUCAAAAGUAUUCUUCUAAUUAAAGUCAUGUUGAAUUUGAUUUAAAUAUUCUCCAAAUAGAUCUUAACUCAAGAAAAAAUAUUUCUAACUAUUAUGAUACCACCCAGAAAAAUUUCUAAGUCCAUCGUUGCAUGUGACAACUAUAUUUUUCAAUAUUACGGGUAACAACUAAAUUUUUAACAUGACUUAUAAUAAUUAUAUUUUUAACAUGACGUAUAAUAAAAGGAGAAACAAGGGUGGCUUGAAAGGAAGAAAAAAAAAUUGUGUUCUAGGGGAGUCCGCCCCUUGCAUGAACCAAGGGUGGCGUGUAAUAAACUGGAGAAACUAUUAAAAUGCAAUUGGAACAAAGGAUGUUUUUCCUUGCGGCCGACUUUCUGCAGAUUUUGAAACUGGUUGCUGCAUGCUCAUGCCCAUGCUCUGAAAGGCCGGUCCAUGUAAUGUAUGGUGCCAAAAAUGCCUCUGCCUAUUCUUGUAACCACCAAGUUUUGCCUUCAAAGUCAUUCCGCUUGUCUCUUUUCCAUCAAAGCCCUUAUUUCGGAUGCCUAUUUUUCAAUUUUUACAAUGUGAACUUUAGUAUAAGUUUACUUUUGCUUGGGUAUUGAUCUUAAUCUUGGUAUUUGGAACUUUAAAUUGAAAUUUUGGAGCUGUUAGGGUAGUAAUGUGGUUGCUUUAAGCUUAAUGAAAGCAGGAAAAUAUUUGAAAGUUGGAAAUUUAGAAUGUCUGAACUGUUUAAAGGAUUUGAUGCUUGAAUGUUAGGCAUAAAUUGUGGUUUAAAAGCUAUUCAUUGAAAGUGAAGCAAACUAGUUCAAAGAAGCUGUGUUGUGAUUACAUGCUAGGAAAGCUCAAGAUUUUAUUUGGGAAGCUCGCCUAUUUGUACUUGGAAGCUUCAAGAAAAAUAUAUUGAAACUUAAGGAAUAUUUUGUUUUUCUGUCCAUGAAUUUCCAAACCCUACUUUUCAAAAAAAAAAAAGUUUACAACAAUUAUUUUCAACAUGACGUGUAACAGUUAAAUUUUAAAAUAUAGUGUGUAACAUUACAUUUUUUAAAACUACCAUAUCAUCAGUUUACGUAAUUUCUGUUAUAUGUGAUACACACGUUCCAUCCAUCUGUCAACUUAAUCCUUAAUUGUAAAAAAUCGAAAACUUUAGGCCCUUGAUUUUUUCAAUUUAAAUGUUUAGUAUUUAAUUGAAAAAGUAUCCAAACGUCCAUUUUCAAUUUAAACAUUUAGCCUAAAUUUAGAGAUUUAAAAAAUUCUUCUACCUUCCAAAGUCAAAAGUUUUUCAUUAGUUUGUUUUUGACCUUCGCCAUUAAUAACCUCUUAAUUAGGUACAAGUUUCUUUUAAUUUGUCAUAAUAAUUUUUUAAUUGAGGUAAAAGAUAUCAUCAAUUCCAUUUAAAAAUGGUUUGUUAGGGAAUUCGUCUCUUUGAGAACUGUCUAAAGGACAAACCUUUCGAGUUGCAUUUGUAGGCCUCAAUGCGGUCAGUGAUGUGUUUCAUUGGUCAAGAGAUAGAGGAGUGAUUGUUUGUCCAUGAAAUUACGUUCUGCGAGUUGCUUUCAAUAAUGAGAGCGAGAAAAGAUCUAAGAGGAGGAUGAAAAUAUGAGUAAACCUUCCAUGAUGGUCAUUAAUUCGACGUAGUCAAAGUCUUUCAUAUCAAUGGAUUUGGAGAAAACACUUUGAUGCUUCCUGUAUGACUCGUAAUUUUCUAUUUACUACAUUUUGUCUCAAAUUUUAUAUCCAAGAGAAUUCAACCGUACAUGUCAAAAUUUCUUCUCCCAUCAAACGAGGAAUCUAAGAGUAACGCUCUGAUACUAAAAAAAAAAAUCCAAAAAUUUAUUGGGGGAGAAUGAUGCCAGAAUUAUCCCUUUAGAAGCUUGGACUUGGACUCCCAGAGGAGGAUUUUCCUCUAGGAAGAAACAAAAUAAUUGCAACUUGCAAGCUGCCAACAGUUAUUUCCUUUCCCUUUUGCAAACUGCUUGAAUUAUGAUUUCUGUAAUGAUUAUCUUCAAGAUUAAUUAAAUUAUCAUUUAUUAUAGUAAUAUGAUUGUAUUAUGAUCACAAUAUUUCAUAAUUAAUGUGAUGCAUUUCAAUAUUUUAAAAUAAUUUUAAAAAGUGUUGUAAAGACAUUUGGUAACAGAAUUAUUAGUGUAUUUAUCUUAAUAUAACAAAAUUGUUAAUGUAUUUAUCUUAAUAUAAAUUUGUGAUAAAAUUUAGCGUUGUAUUUGAUUAUUUGCAGUCUCUUGUCAAUUGCAUUUUGCUAGCUUAGUGGUUAGCAUGAGCUUGUCACUUUUUGGUUGUUUAUUAAUAAUUUUUUUUGACAUAAUAGUUGGUGUAUGCUUUCUCUUUUCAAAGAGUUGUAUUCCAACCUAUAUUCCAAUAUAAAACAUUAAUUAACACUUUGUCCUUAGGCACAAAAAUGAUAGAAUGAGCUGUAUCCUUUUAUAGUUUGAAUAAAUAAACAAAGAACAACAAAAUCUUUUUUUUGUAUUUAUUUACAUUUGAUGCAUUGGCAAUGUAGAGCUCUUAUACACUGUCAAGGCAUCAAAUGGUGCCACUUCAUCAAAAAAUAAAUUUAAAAUUUUAAGAGAUUUAAAAAUAAAUAUUAUUAUUUUUUCAAAAAUAAUAAUAAUUUCUUUCUAUCUCCAACUCCAUCUCACCCAAUCUCUUCUUCUUUCUCAUAUUCUUCUUCUCUUGUUAUAAUUUCAAAACUUUAAAUUCUUAAUUUGAUUCUUAAAGAUAAUAUUUAUUUCGAUCUCCUUCUUAGUUUACCAUUUUCUAUAUACUGUGAUUGUUUAUUUAUCACUUUUAUUUGAUUAAAGAAAGAGGCUUUUCAAACACUCUAGACACAUACACUGUGAAGACACCGUUAUGAAAUUUCAACGUGAUAAUCUUGUGGGACUCAUGCUAUUAAGAAGAAAAAUAGAUUUUUGUUUACAAAUUUGUGUUUAGGGUUUUUUUCCCUUCAUCUGUUCAGAAAUCUAAGAAGAGGUUGUACUUGGUAGAUUUUUGUUUCGUCCUAUUUAAUCUCCAAUGAAUCUAGAAUAUGUGGACUUGCUAGAGUGAAGAAAGCUUGAGUUUUAUAGAUUUUUUAUAUGCUACACAUUGCUAUGUAGGUCACGAAUCCCACACCAAUAAGUGAUGGGGUGAGUCUUAGGUAUAUAAACAUGAGCAUUUCACUACCUAUCAAGCACGUUUUUUGAGUUAAGAAUGUGGGUUGGUGAUUUAUAAGCUUACUUAAACUCUAUUUUCAAAGUUUAAGGUCGCAUGAGAUUGGACUAAGUACUGGGCCGUGACAUUUGGUAUCUUAGCAGACUCGAAUCUUCAUUAGUAUGGGGUCCCCAUGAAAGAUACAAGGGUCGAGGUCGACUUGGAUUAGUGUAAGAGUUCUUCUCCUCUAUGAGUAAAGAGCCAGUGUAACGGGGGUGUCGCACAAUUAAGUGGGGUAGAAUGUCAUGAAUCUCACAUCCUGAAGAGAUAAGGCAAGUUUUGGGUAUAUAAACAUGGGCCUUCCACCAUCUAUUAGGCAUGCCUUUUGGAUUAGCAAUAUAGAUCCAUAAUUUAUAAGCUUACUUAAACUCUAUUUUUAGAAUUUAAGGUUGCACGAGGUUGAGCUUAAAUUCCAAUCCAUGAUAAGUGGCAUUAAAGCAGACCCAAUCUUGACCUAAUUUCAUGCUAAGCACCUUUGGGGGAGGCAGCUAGGGUGGUCGAUAGCGACUAGAGCGUUAUCGGAUUGGGUGGGUGAGGAUGUCACUCCUAGUCCUUUAAGAAGGAAGUAGGUAGGGCGCUUCCAAAAAUCAAACAUUGGGUAGGUAAGGGAGCCUUGGGUGACUUAUAAACAGUGGCACUACACAUCCCAUCAUAUUAGCCAUUUAGGAAGCAGGGGUGAAGCCUCCUUUAAUUUUGGUGGGGCCAUGGUCGCCCCAAAAUUUUUAAAUUUUUUUAUAUCAUAUAAAAUUUUUAAUAUAAUAUCUUAAUGGGCUCCUUCAAAAUAAUUUUUCAUUUAAUAAUUAAUGCAAAUAAAGAAUAAUAAAAAAAUCUCACUUCUCACUCAAUUUAAUUUUUUUAAUUUCUAUUAUUAUUUUUAUUUAUAUUUGUGUUUACUAUUUGCUCAUGUUCUAAGUUUCUACAGAUUUUCUCUCCAAAUUUCUACACCAUUCUUUUUUUUUAUUAUAUCAUAUAUGGGUUUUAUUUUCUACUUGCCAUGUUUUUCUUUUUCCUAUUAUGUGAAUUUUAUUUUCUAUGAUUUUAUUCUUCAAAAAUUAAUAAAUUAUUUUGUAAUUCUCAAAUGUAAGUUGUAGUGUUACACUAUUACUUAAACUUUCAUCAAUGUAUCAUUUUUUUAUUAAUCUUGAUUAUUUAAGAAAAAAUUAUUAUAAAUAUAUAUUUUUUAUAUACUUUACAUUUUAUAUUUAGUUGAAAGGAAAUUAUUUUGAGUAUAUAGUCUUUAAACAAUCUUGGAGAAAAUUAUUAAUCUUGUAUAUCGUAUUUAAAUAUUUAUAUUUUAUAUAUUAUAGUUUUAUAUUUAGCAUUAUAAGUUUAAAUAGAAAUAAAAUAAGAAUAUUGGAGGUUGACUAUAUUAAUUUUUUUCAAGUUUGAUUAAAGUAUGAGUAAGUUGAAAACAAUUGACAAAUUCUUUAAAAGAAAAGAUAUAAAUCAUUUAAAUGAUUCUCUUACAUUUGAAUCACCAAGCCUCAAUGAUUUAACUCAUAAAUAAGAACAAUGCGAAUCAAAAUGUUAAAAACUCAAUUCUAAAGAAAUAGAUGUUUUUCAGUACAUAAUUAGUAAUUGAUGAAUUUGAAUUCAAAAAAUUGAGCACAAUUUUCUUGAAAGAUUAUUGUAAGACUUUCUUUUCUUGAUUUAUAUGUUAUAUAUAAUUAUUUUUUAUUAUAAAUCUUUUAAUUGUUGGUUAAAUUCAACAUAUUAAUUUUUAAAAUUUUUAACCCUUAUUCUUUUGUCUUUGGCCCUCCUAACAAAAAUUGGCUAGCACUGCUCCUGACUGGUUGGGAUCUCUUGCAUUUAUAUUUCCAGAAAGCAAUUAUAUUUCUUUAGGGUUGAUGUUUUGCUUUCGACCUUUUCCAACUGCUUUACUCCAGGGCAAAUCAGCCAUUGCUGAACAAAUAAAAAAUUUUACCUCAUUAUCUAUUAUCUUUUUUUGAAAGUAAUUUUAAAUAGAGUAGUGAAAUAAAUAUUAGGAAUUAAAUUAAUAAGAAGAGUACAAUAAAUAUUACUUUGAAGAAUCAAAAUUAAAAAUUUAGAAUUUUACUUUUCAAAAAAAAAUUAGGAUUUUGAAUCUAUUGUUGUCGAGGGAAUAAGAAGAAGAGAUUGAAUAAGAGAGAGUAAGAGAGAUAAAAAAUUAUUUAUCCUUUUUUAAAAUUUUUUUAAAAAAUUAAUAAUAUUUAUUUUAAAAAUCUUUUAAAAUUUUGAACUUAUUUUUUAAUUAGGUGGUAUGAUCUUAUGUCUUGAUAGUAUAUAAAAAUUAUACACUGUUAAUACAUCAAAUAUAAAUCCUAAUUUUAAAUAAGUAAAUUAGUUUAACACAGACUUUAGGAGCCAAGUCCACUUCACACCUCACUGUCGUAAUGUCUGCUUUUAUGAUUUAUCUUGAAGCCUCAUCUUAGAUAUCAAAUUAGUAAGAAAUAAGAUCGAUUUUGGAUUUAUAAAUAAUAACUAAUUAUAAACAAUAUGUUAUAAAAACUAAGGUGAUAAUUAAUAAAGUUAUUAAGUAUAAUCAUAUAAAUAAAGUCUAUUAUAAGUUCUAGUAAUACUUAUGUAUAAAUUAAAUAUAUAUAAUAUUUUACUUUAUUAUAUAAAUGAAAUUAAUGACACAACUUAUAUGUUAUAAUGUUUUUAUAUCAAAGUUUGUAUAAAUAAUAACUAACUAUAAACAAUAUGUUAUAAAAACUAAGAUGAGAACUAAUAAAGUUAUUAAGUGUAAUCAUAUAAAUAAAGUUUAUUAUAUGUUAUAGUAAUGCUUAUGUAUAACUUAAAUAUAUAUAUAUAUAUAAUAUUAAUACAAUUAUAUAUAUUUAUAAUAUUUUAUAAUACAAAACAUUACUAAAGUGUAAUAAUGAUAACAUAUUAAUAUAUAGGAUAUUUACUAUAAUAUAUUAUACUAUUAACACAUAAGUUAUAUCAUUUAAAAUAUAUAACAUGUAUUUCAUAAUAAUACAGAUUUAUAAAUAAAUAAAUAUGUAGAAUUAAUAUUAAAUUGCUAUGAUUAGGAUUUGUAUACGUACAUAUAAUAAACUAAUAUAUUUUAAGUAUAUUAUUAAUUAAGUUUACUAUCAAUUCUUCUUAAUAUAUGUAAAAAUAUUAUAUAUGUUAAUAUAUAAAAAAUAUAUAAAAAUUAGUUUAUUUUUUGGGUGGAUUGGUUUAAAAAUUUUAAAACCGAAAACCGACAAAAAAACCAAUUGAAUCAAACAUUUUGAAUCAAUUAGACCGAAUCAUUUUAUUCAAAUUGUAUUUGGUUUAGAUAGAUAAUUGAUCUGGUUUGGUUUUUCUUAUAUCUACACAUACCUAUAUAUGACAUGAGUAAAAUUUUUGAGAAAAACUCUAAAAAAAUAAAAAAUUCGCGGGAGACUCCUCCAUCAUUUGGGCUUUGGCUUCUUUAAAAUUAAAUUUUAAUUUAAUUUUAGUUAAAAAGUAAAAUAGCCAAAUAACCUAUAAUUGACUGUUCUACAAUAACAAUAAAAUUAAUAGAAUAUUAAUAUUUACAAAUCUAAGGAUGUACAUUGGCCGAAGUUAAAUUUACUUAGAAGUCCUCAUUAAUUUAGAAUUAAUCUAGAACCACGAGUACCAUAAUAAACCUAGGGGUUUAUUAUUAUGACAAGCAUCCAAUCUUAAAACAAAUGGACAAGUGAGGAGGGGUAACUUUUCUUGGAUAUAAUUAAAAAAAAAUUAACAAAUAUGAGAUAACACCGCUUAAUUGGUUCAAUUACUAUUUGAUAAAAAUAGUGAGGGAACGAUCAAAUGCAGAAGCUAUGCAAGCAAAGCAAUUCUUAAUUAAAACUCUGAACGACUUAAGAUCACAGAUGAUCAAUUUGACAGAUUUCAACUUUUUAUUGCAAUGAUCAAGCAGGGCUUAUUUGGGUAGCAUAAGACACGCCUUACUUACUGAUGACCAUAUGGAUAAUUAGUUUAUGGAGAAUCAUGGAAAUGUGAAGCCGUUCACGGAUGGGUAAUAGUAAUAGGGAAGCUGCGGAGCACCACUGUCUCCAGUGUAAUACCAGACCCAAAACCAAUUAAAAGCCCCCAUUCUAGACCUUCACCUGUUGUGGCUUUUCCUUUCUCCAAGGACUUCUUUCUCAUCUCAUCCAAGAUAAAUAACACGCACGCAACACUCAUGUUCCCAAAUUCGCUUAGCACAUGCCGAGUUGCUAGGAGUUUUUCCUUUUUCAGCCCAAGUUUGAUUUCGAUCUGGUCGAGAAUUGCACUCCCUCCUGGAUGAACUAUCCAGAAGAACGAGUUCCAAUCAUUAAUGCUAAUCGGGCUUAAUGCUUCCGACAAGCAGCUCUCAAGGUUAUUGGCUAUUAGUUUUGGAACAUCCUUUGACAAUUGAAUACUGUACCCUGCUUCACGUACAUGUCCUUCGAUUGCACCACCUGAGCCAGGGAUGAUGUUCUGUGCUGUCGAAACGAUUUGGAACAAUGGUCUUUCGUUUAAGACAUCAGGAUCAGCACCAACGAUCAUUGCCGCCGCGCCAUCACCCACGAUUGCUUGACCUAUAAGCGAAGCUAUGUCAUGUUCAUUGGGUCCAUGAAAUGCACCGAUUGAGAUCUCAGUGCUGACAACAAGAAUGCGUGCUCCAGCAUUGUUUUCAGCGAUGUCCUUGGCCAUCCGAAGGAUGGUACCGCUCGCAUAGCAGGGUUGAAAAUUCAACAUGAUUCUCUUGACGGAUGAUGGUAGGCCAAGCAGCUUCGUAAGAUGGUAAUCUGCUCCAGGCAUGUCCAUACCUGAAAGUGAGGAGAAUAUGAGGUGCGUGAUUUGAGAUUUUGGUUGCCCCCACUCUUGGAUUGCUUUUGAUGCUGCUUCCAUGGCAAGCUUUGGAACUUGAGCGAAAGCAAUUUCUCGACGUGCGUCGAGAGAUGGGUCGUCGUAGGUGCUGAUGCUGGCGUUCUUCUUAAGAAUUUCUUCAGUAAGGACAAAGUGACGUUUCCUUAUCAUUGACUUCUCACCUGUUGGACCGCUUACAAUAACCAUCAAACCGUUACAACUAAUUAAAUCUGACGAACUAGGAGAACUCAGAUAUGUAUAUAUGUCGAUGAUAAAUUUGUACUAAGAAACCAGGAAAAGACAAAUUGACUAUAUAAUUGUCUCUUCUUUAACACUAAUUACUCAAAAUGGUUAGACUUCUUAGACCAUGAGAUAGAUGAAUAUAUAUAUGAGCCAUUAUUUUCCAUGCUAUGUAUCAUCUAUGAUUACAUAUUAGUAAGCAGUACACUUACAUAUUUGCUUGAAUUUCCCUUUCAAUUGUGUCAUGUGCUCACUUUUGGUAACUCUAAAAUAGUAAUCGGGGUAAUCAAUCUGAGAAAUACAAAACACCGGAUUUGCCGUGCCAAUGGAAAGGAUUGUUGCUGCACUCUGAGCUUGCUUUUGUCUUCCGAAAUUCUCUGGUAAAGCCAUUGCUGUCAACCUGGUUCCUAUAUAAGAACUAUAACCUGGAAAGUGAUGAAUAAAGAAAUAGUGUACGGCUGAUUUAUAUACCAAGUCUAUAGCUGCAGAAGAUGUGGAUUUCCUUGUAAGCUAGGCUAUCAACUUCAUCUGUAGGUCUAAAAAAGGAAACAGUGGGGAAACAAAGAGUUGAGCAUUCAUUUUUACAUUAAUUAGUUAUGAUCUCAGAUGCUUAAUUUGUCUCAUUACCGGCUACACACCUACAAAGACUGGAGGAAGGAACUUUGCCAAAUGGUUACUUCUUCUUUCUUCAGUUAAUGAUUAUUAGCUGUUUCUCUCCUCAUCGAUCUUAGUCCAAAGGAUUUUUUUUCCUGCAUAUCUCUAAAUAGUAUAAAAAUGAUAGAAAAAGUUGGUGAAACUAGCAAAAUAUAGAGACACGUAUUUAAUUAGAAUCAUAUUUAGUUGUUGGGAGUUGAUUAGUUUCAUGCAAAAGGUUGCUGAGUUUCUCAUUUCAGCAACACGUUUUAGUAUCAUAGUCGAUCUUCGUCAUACACCCGAUGAUCUCAUCGUUACGCAAAUUGACUGACAGAAGUUGAAAGGCAGCCUACCAAAUCCCACCAUUUCAACCCAAAACAUCCAACUACAAAAACAAUUGAUUAAUAGAUGAUUACAACUCUCAUUCACAGAUUAAUGGCACCAAGCACCAAGGACGUAGUCUAAGCUCCUUGGAAAUUGAUUCAAUUAGUUCAACAUCCACAGCUCCAAGGUUUUUAUCAAAUUUGCAACUUCAUCUUAUCUAUAAUCAAACACAAGUAAGAAGUACAGAAAUCUAAAAAGUUAAACAAAAAGAAUUUACCAUGUGUAACGUAAUUAAAAUUGUGGGGAUCCCCUCUGUUAAAUGUUAACUUUAGCCCAUCGGAAAUAAUUUCAUCAAUUUCAGUCCUGUAUACUAUACUUUAAUAAAUAAUGUAAUUAAAGAAAAUUAAUAACUUCAUUAAUAGUUUCGUCAAAAAAAAAUUUCACCAGCCGUCAAGUAUGUUGACAUAGUACCUAAAAGUCACUUUCAAGUUUAAAAAAAAAAUUAAAUUGAUCGUUUAUGGCCUCAUAGCAAGUAGGUUCAAAAUCCUUUUCUUCUAUUUUUUUUUUUUUUUUUUUAGAAAAUGAAAAAGCUAAUGGACAUUUUGGUAUUAAAAGGUUGCCAGGAUCCAAGUUAAUGUAAUUUUAUUCCAAGAUACUAAACCUAAGCUCUUAUUCAAAACCCCAGGGUGGCAUAGGAAUUUUCUUUUUGGUCGUAAAAUCAAAUUUUGAUAUUCCAAAUCUAGAGGCUGUAAGUAUAUAUAAAAAAAUAUAUUUUAGUAGCUAGAAUUUGAAAUUUUAACUUGGAGGUUUUAAAGUUACAUAUUCGUUUUCUAAAAUGAAAUAACUAGAAUUUAUGGGGUGGUGAGAGAGACCUGUCAUUAUCUAAAUCUGAAUCAUAUGUUUUUUAAAAAAGAUAUGAAAUUAAUUGAAAAGAAAGGAAUGUAAACUUCCCUGAUAAUUCUGUUUCUUCCCAAACAAAAUGAUACAAAUUACAAAUGAUUGCUGACUAAUUGGAAAAUAUUCAGUCCCAUUUUCGUUUUCAUCGCUGCUUUUAAUACUUUUAUUUAUUUUUUACUUUCGAAAAUGAAAGGUAGAUAGUGCAUUUGUUUAUAAAUGCAAAUAAUAAUUUUUUGAAUGAUUAAAAUUAUAAUUAUACUAAUAAUUUAUAAGAGCAUAAUCCAUGCUUCUACUUUAUUAUAUACAGAACAAUAUAGAUUUAUUGCUGCAUUUUAGUCAUUUAUUUAUUUUUAAUUAAUUAUGCUUGUGUUUUUUGUUUUUUUAAAAAAUAAAUAUAAAUAGCCAAAACCAAGUAUCAAAACUAACAACCAAAUAAAAUUUUAAUUUAGUAUUUUUUUUAGCGUUUAGCACUUUUGGCUUGUGCUGCUUGUGAAUCAAAUCAAUUAAAUUAAUGUGUUAUUUUCAGUUCAUCCAUCCAUGAGAACCAAUAAGAUUUUUCGAGGUUUAUCUGAAGGCUUUCUAUCAACUAUAUCAUUGGUGAAAAGAUGGCAAGAGAUUGGAAAGAAUAUUUUAUUUUAUGUAUAAUUUGGAUAGCAACUAAGCUAAUAUAGAUGUUAAUAGCAAGGUAAAGCAUAGGAUUAAUUGUCUUUUUUUUUCUAAUGUAUACACUCAAUUAUAACCAUUAACAAUUUCUCAUGUAUAAGAAAAAUGUUAUUUAACAUACACUGUAAUAAUUCACUGGGUUAGAGACAUUCAUGAAUUCUGAGAUUGCAUUUAUGAAUUUGUCUUUAAAUUUACGAAUUUACUAGAAAUACAAGAAAUACAGAGACGGAGCAGUCCAAAUAUCUAUAGGCCUACUCCAAGGGCGCCGAAUUUAAAGGCCUACCAUCCCAAAAAAAUGCCAUUUUAACUUAAAAAUUGGCAACUAAAUGAACCACUGAGAGGAUGGAAAUUAAUGCCAUUGAUGCUGAAAUUGCAAAGUAUCCUAGAGGCCAAUGUUUCAUAUGACCACAAGGUAGAGAGGAUGUCGUUCAUGUGUAUGCGGAGACAUCCACACGAGAAAUUCCAAACAGCAACUCUUUCAUGAACUCUCACUACAAAAAUCCUUGUAUUUUCAACGGAUUUGCAGCGAAUUUCUAACGGAGUAUAGUUAAAAUUUUUAAUUGCUUGUUCCGACGGAUUUUCAACGGAUUUCCAACAGACUUAUACUGAAAAUUUUUCAACGGAAUUUUCCGUUGAAAAUUUGACUUGUACAAUAUUUUCAACGGAUUUUCAACGAAAAUUUUUAUUAGAAAUCUGUCGGAACUGUAAACUAAAAAAAAAAUUGUGUAAUAUUUACAGUUUCCAACGGAAUUUUCCGUUGAAAAUUUCCAACAGAAAAUUCCGUUGGAAAAUAAAACUUUAAAAAAAAUUUUACAAUCUUUUUACAGUUUCCAACAGAUUUCCAACGGAAAAUUCCGUUGAAAUUUCCAAUGGAACAUAAAACUUUAAAAAAAAUUUUACAAUCUUUUUACAGUUUCCAACGGAAAUUUUCGUUGGAAAUCCGUUGGAACAUAUAAAGAGUCGAUGAUAUAUUAAAAAUAUAACUUUCCAACGGAAUUUUCGUUGAAAAAUUCUGUUGGAAAUAGCCUUUUUAGUGCAUAAAAGUGUUAAUGAUAAUUGUAACUUCCAACGGAAUUUUCCAUUGGAAAAUUCCGCUGGAAAUAAUAAUAAUGUUAAAAAAUUAUAUAAUUAACAUUUUUUAAAAAUUAAAAUUUUUUUUUCAGAAAAAUUUAGAUAUCUCUUUAAGCAAAUACAUAGUUAUUGAAGUAAAAUUUUGGGCUCUGUUUAAAUAUGUUUUCCUUUGAGUAAUUUUGUAUAAUUUUUUUAACUUGAAUGAAUCAUACAAUAUUGAUUAAUACAACCAAAUUAGGGUAAUGUUAUAUUAUUCCAAAAUUGAAAAAAAUUUCUAUGUAAAAUUUUAUAUUUUAUAAAAAACCAUGAUAAGAUAUAAAAAUCAUAUUAAAAAGUAUAUAUUACUUUAUUUACGUUUUAAUUGUAAUUAGCUAAUAUAUGUAAAUUAAGAUUGAAGUUUUAUAAUAAACUUAUUAAUAUUUGUGCUUAAAAAAUAUCAUUUUAUUAUAUCUAUGUACUCAUGCAAUUCUGACCGAGAGCUAUAGAAAUUAGUCUUGAUGUAUAUAUAUAUAUAAACAAUUAUGAUUUAAGAAAAAAAUCGAUAAAUAAUAUGAGAUAUAUUAAAUAAGGGUCUACAUAUAUAUAUGUGAGGAUAUAAUUUAUGUAAGGUUAUAGUAAAUUGAAGUUUAGAUGAUUAAUGUAAUAGGAUCCAAAUCGCACAUAUAUAUAUAUACACACACUUUAUAGUUACUAUAACUUGUAAUGUCUUUUAACACAUACACUUUCUAUUAUAUAUUAUGUUACUAUAACUUGUAAUUACUAUUAUAUAAAUGAGUUACUAAAUAAUAUAUAUACCUUUGUUUAUAUAAAUUUACAAUAUAUGAAGUUAACUAUCUAAAAAGAAGUUGUGAGAUUAAAAUAGUUUUGAAACUGAACUAUUUUUUUAAAAUUUCAUGUAACUAAGAGCAAAUUCAUAUAAUUAAUAAAAUUAUAAUUAUUAAUUAAAUUGUAAGAUCUUUUAAUAUCUAUACUUUAUAUACAUUAGGUUAAUUUAAAAAGAAUAUAAUUACGGCUUUUGUAUAUACACUAUAAUACUUAUAAUACAUAUACUUUAUAAUAUAAAACUUAUAAUGUCUUUUAACACAUACAUUUUAUAUUAUAUAUUAUGUUUUUUUGCAAAAAAUAUAAUUACUAUUGUAUUAUAAAGUAAUUACUAAAUAAUAUAUAUACUUUUGUUUAUAUAAAUUUUUAAUAUAUAAACUUAAUAAUUUAAAAAGAAGUUGUGAGAUUAGAAUAGUUUUUUUACUUAGCAAUUUUUUUAAAUUUCAAGUAAGUAAGGACAAAUUAAUUCAUAUAAUCAAUAAAUUUAUGAUUACUAAUUAAAUUAUAAGGUCUUUUGAUAAGUAUGUUUUAUAUAAAUUCGAUUUAUUUAAAAAAACAUAAUUACUAUUUUUUAGAUACACUAUAAACAUUUUAAUAUAUAUUUAUUUUUUAUUUGAUAUUAAUAUUAUGAAAAUGAUAAUUUUAAUACUUAUAAAAUUUAUAUAGCAAAAUGUGUUUUUAGCACAUUAAUCCAAAUGUUAAAUAUUUAUGUAAUAGUCUUUUAUGUUAAAAUAAUUAAAAAAGGAAUAAAAAUUAAAAACCCAUCCCAGCCCCUCGACCCCUCUGUUUCCUUUUUUUCUUCUCUUCUACUCGGGUGCCACUCCUUCCCUCCUUCCGCCAACUCCUUCACCGGUUGUUCUUCCCCGACCCGCAGCUCUCUCUCUCAAGGCCUUCCUUUUUCAACCGACGACACAAGGCCGAAGCCUCAACUAUCUCUAAAACCGACGGCACAGGAACCCAGAUCUGGUAGGCUCUCGCUUCUUCCUUUUCCAACCGGCAACACAAGCCCGAAGCCCCAGCUCUCUCUAGAAUCAGUGGCACAGCAACCCAGAUCUUGUCUCUCUCACUUCUUCCUUUUCCAAUCGGUGACACAAGGUCGAAUCGCCCUAGCUCUCUCUAGAACUAGCAGCACAGCAACCCAGAUAUUCUCUCUCUCGCUUCUUCCUUUUGCCGGCGGCAAGCCUGAUGCCCCAACACUCUCUCUAAAAUCGACGGCACAAACCCCAAACUCUCUAAACUCCCACCGACGGUUGGCAUCCCUUCACUCAAAGCUCUAUUUCUCUAUGUAUAUAUUUUUUCAUAUUCAGAUUUUUUUUGGUAUUGUUUGGUAUUAUUUGGUUUGUGGAUUGAGGUUUCUGGCUGCUAGACUAGGGAAUUGAUUUUGGCUUUGUGUGUUUUUGGGUUGCUAGGGAUUCUUAGGAAUUUUUACAAUUGAGUUUUUGGCCCCCGGAUCCCUUGUGCUACACUUGUGAAUUUUGAUGGGUUGUGGUCUCUGCGAGGCUUCGUUCCACUACUCUGCCAGACGCGAAUUUUGUGCGUUUGGCAUUGUAGUGGUGAUAUUGGUACUGGCAGGGCGUCCGCGCCCUGACAGUAUUUUUUUUUAUUUUUUUUAUUAGUUAAGUAUUAUUGUUAUUAAUUUUUUUAACAUAAAAAAUAUGGUCUUUACAGCUAGCUGCCGGCCUACCACACCAAGCUCGGGUCUUUCAUCAAUUGAUCUGCCUUUUCUCUCUAACAGCCCAGCCACAACUAAGGUCUGCCGACUGCGUGGGUGUCUCCUCAAGCUCCACGCCUUUGUUCUUCCCUAGUUACCGGCCUACCACGCCACGCUCGACUCCUUCAUCGGUUUAUCUGAAUUUUCUCCCCAGUCGCCCAGCCACAGCCAUUCCCUGCUGGCUGCCUCUGUGUCGCCCCAAGCCCCACGCCAUUGUUAUUCCCCAACUGAGAUUUUGGUAUAGGAUUUUGUUAAACUAGGUUCAUUCUUAAUAAUUGUUAUGCAAAUAAGAUUUGAUGUUUCAACCAUGGUUGUAUGUUUCUGAAAAUUGAUACCCUAAGAAUUAAUUUUACAUGCCAAUGUCGAUGUUGUCCUUAGUUUACGAGAGAGUUUUUCAUUACCCCAGAUUGCAAUUAGUACUUUUAGACUUGUGAAUUUGGUGAUAAUGUUGUUGUCUGGUUCCCCAUAUAUCUAUUUUUAGUUAUUUAAUUUUAAGUUUAAAAUAUUUGUUUUUGAUUAUUUAAAUUUUAAUUUAAAUUUUUUGGUGGAAGAAAAAUUAAUGUGUAGUUAAUUUAAUGAAAUACGUAGAUAAAUAUUAUUGUUUAUGUAUACAGAUUCGGGUAUACAUUGAGAAAUUGUAUAAAGAAAAGUUUAAUAAUUUUUUAAUAUAAUCAGAUUUUUAAACGAGUUAGAGUAAUUAUAAGGUAGUAAAAAUGUAAUAGGGUUAGGGUAUUAAUUUUAAAAUUAUUUGGGUAGUUAAUAGGGUUAGGGUAGUUGAGUUUUUACAAGGUUAGGGUUCGGGUUUAGGAAAAUUAUAAGGUACAUGAGCCGUUGACAUUCCUAGCCUUAGGGGUUAAUUUUCUAUAUCUUGUUUAUUUGAUGUUUAUCAAGAUUUGUUUAUCAAUUGAUGCGUCCUAUGUAUUUUUAAUGAUGUUAUUGUGUUUUAAUUAUUUGAUUUACAGUUACAAGCCUAAACGUUUCAUUGCUUUAACUUCAGUCAAAGGCUAAGGUCUGGAAGCAUCAAACCUGUGUUUGGUCUGCUUCAAAACGAGAUUGGGUUUUGGUCUAAUUUCUGAGGUGAGUAAGAUAAACACACAAGCAAUUAAAUGUUGGUAUUUGAGAACUGACCACCCCUGUUAAACUUCAAUUUUAUAUAUAAAUGAUACUAGCCUUUCCAACGGAUAAUAGCACAUAUAUUUUGACCCGUCCACAAUACUCAUGUUGUUCAAUCUGAUGCUAUCCUAAUAAAUAUAAACUAUUUUCCUAGGUUUAACGGAUAAUUCAUGUAUGUAAUAAUUUAUACUAUAAAGGAUACUUUGCAAAAUAUAUGUAAUUUUGAAUAUAUACACAUAUAUAUAAAUAUAAUACAUAUUGGAAUGUAGAGUUUAACAAAUUGUUUUGUUUUCAUCAAUACAAAUUAGUCUUAAUAAUGAUAUUCUAUGAUACUUAGGAUUAUAAAAUGUCAGGAGAUCGCUCCUGGAUGUACUGUCGAUUACAGAAUGGAUUCAUUACAGAUGAAUUUAUAAAUGGAGUUACUGAAUUUAUUAAUUUCGCAUGUUCGAAGACUACAUUUAUGUGGAAGAAUAAAAUUAGAUGCCCUUGCACACGAUGUAGUAACAAUAAGUUCUUAGAUAAAGAUAAAGUCACAGAACACAUCCUAAACUGUGGUUUUACUAGGGCUUACACAAUUUGGAGUUUACAUGGGGAAGAUCAUGUUGGACAAUCAUCAAGAAGUAGAUCUAGAGUUGAACCAUCCUUUAGAUUUGAGGGAGAUGCUGCUUUUCGAGAACCUACAUAUGAAGAUGAAAUAGAAAAUCCAUAUACUAGAAUGGUUAGGGAUGCUAUGCGUCUCGAAGUUGCUUUCAACCAUGGUUCUGAAAAUGACUCUAGCUUUGUGGAAGAAGAUCCCAAUCCAAAUGUGUCUUCCUUUUACUCUUUGUUAAGCAAUGCAGAGGAACCUUUGUGGGUAGGUUGCACAAAGCACACAACGCUUUCAGCUGUGUCGCAACUUUUAAAUGUUAAGGCUGAGUACAAUUUGAGUGAAUCAUGUUUUGAUCGACUGUUGGAGAUAAUAAAGAAUAUGUUGCCGUCUGAUGAGAAUUUACCUAUCGACUUUUAUAGGAUGAAGAAGAAGGUAGCAAAGCUUGGUUUGGGAUAUAUCAAAAUUGAUGCGUGUAAGAACAAUUGCAUGUUAUUUUAUGAGCGAUUCGCUACAUUUGAGCAUUGUCAGGUAGGUUGACAUCCUCGAUAUAAAUAAAGGAAUUCAAGUGUGAGAAGGCAUAAGAAAAUUCCUUACAAGAUUUUGCGUUACUUGCCACUUAUACCGAGGCUUCAAAGGCUUUAUAUGUCAUGUAAAACUGCUGAACAUAUGACGUGGCAUGCGCAACACCACAGUGAUGAUGGACUCCUUAGACACCCUGUUGAUGGUGAGGCUUGGCAACACUUCAACUGCACACAUGAAUUCUUUGCAAUGGAACCUUGAAAUGUAAGACUCGGGUUAUGUGCUGACAGUUUCAACCCUUUUGGAUCGAUUGCCAAGCCUUAUUCUGUUUGGCCGGUAAUGCUUUGUGUGUAUAAUUUACCCCCAUGGAUGUGUAUGAAACAACAAUAUAUAUUUCUUAACAUGGUUAUCCCGGGUAAGAAAAGUCCAAGUCAAAAUAUAGAUGUUUUCUUGAGGCCUUUGAUUGAUGAGUUGACUUUAUUGUGGAGAGAAGGUAUUGUGACCUAUGAUGCAUAUAGGAAACAAAAUUUUCAUAUGCGGGCAGCAUUAUUGUGGACAAUUAAUAAUUUUCUUGCUUAUGGUAUGUUGUUAGGGUGGAGUACACAUGGACGAUUAUCAUGUCCAUAUUGCAUGGAACAUUCUAAAUCUUUCAUAUUGGAACAUGGUAGGAAACCUUGUUUCUUUGAUUGUCAUUGGCAAUUUUUGCCAGCUAAUCAUCCUUUUAGGAGGCAGAGAGACAAAUUUAUUAAAAAAAGAGUUGAACAUGACUUACCAUUUCCUCGAUUAUCAGGCGCAGAAAUAUUGACACGUUUGAAUGAGCUUCCUCAUCUCCCAUUCGGAACAAAAUGUGGUGAGCGAAAGAGUUUAGGAUAUGGUAUUUGUCAUAAUUGGGUGAAGAAGAGUAUAUUUUGGUCUCUACCUUAUUGACAUACGCUUCUUAUUCGUCACAAUUUAGAUGUUAUGCAUAUUGAACAUAAUUUUUUUGAGAAUAUACUUAACACAGUGAUGGAUGUUAAAGGAAGGACAAAGGACAAAAUAAAGGCACAACAAGAUUUAAAAGUGUAUUGCAAGCGGCCAAAAUUGGAAUUGGUGGAAAAUAAUGGAAAACUGUACAAGCCCAAGGCUGCUUACACAUUAAAUAAGGAGGAAAUAACAAAUGUUUGUGCUUGGGUUAAACAAUUGAGAUUACCAUAUGGUUUUGCGUCGAACAUUUCUCGGUGUGUUAAUGAGAUUGAUGAAAAAUUUUAUGGGAUGAAAAGUCAUGAUUGUCAUGUUUUUAUGCAACGAUUGCUCCCAAUUGUAUUCCGUGAAAUGCUACCUCAAACAAUUUGGGAUUCAAUUACUGAGAUAUCUCAAUUUUUUAGGGAUUUGUGUGCAACUGAAAUACCUAUUGAUCAUAUGGAAACGUUGCAAGGAAAAAUAUGUGAAACUAUAUGCAAACUAGAGAGCAUAUUUCCUCCGGGUUUUUUUGACUCGAUGGAGCAUUUGUCGAUUCAUUUACCUUAUGAGGCCAAGGUUGGUGGACCUGUCCAAUAUCGAUGGAUGUAUCCAUUUGAGAGGUAAAAUAAUUGUUAUUUGUUUUCAUAUAUUUAUUUUGAAGAGUUAAAAGUACAUCAUAAGAUUGAUGAAUAUUGUGGUUGUUAGGUUUUUGCAACAGUUGAAGAAGAAAGUAAAAAAUUGUGCCUCUGUUGAAGGAUCUAUAUGUGAGGCUUAUGUUAUCGAGGAAGUUUCCUCAUUCUGCUCAUGGUAUUUUGAACUUGCUGUGUGAACAAGAGUAAAUCGAGUGCCACGUAGUGAUGAUGGGGGAGAGGUGGACUCUAUGGGUCGUCUUUCAAUUUUCACUCACCUAGGGCGAGCUUUUGGUUCAUGUGAUAAAUCUCGAUUUUUAGAUGAGGAUGAGUUUUAUGCUGCUGAGUUAUAUGUUUUAAUGAAUUGUGAAGAGAUGCUGCCAUAUAUAAAGUAAGUACUAUUACUUUUUUAACUUGUUAAUACCCUAUAAUAAGAUUGAAGUUAAUCACGUAGUUGUGGAUAUUAUGAUAGGAUAUUUGAUGAAAUUGUGAAGGGAGAUGUUGUGGAAAUUUCGGAAGAGGAAUUGGAGAAAGUACGUGAUGCGAGAUUCAUUAAAUGGUUUAAAAAUUAUGUAAGUUUCCUUAACAUAGAAGUGAACUUUUAAUUAAUCCAUUUCUUUUUUAUUAUGUAAUUUAUUAUUUUAUUCUCUUGUAAAUUAUCCUUGUAGGUUGCAAAGCAUAAUGAGGAAAUAGACCAACAUUUAAUUGAAAUCUCUUAUGGUCCCGGACGUACGAUAAGGUGUUACAGUGGAUAUUUUAUAAAUGGUUUUAAGUUUCACACCUUAGAUUACGGCUAAAAUCGUAAGACAAUGAAUAGUGGGGUUUGCAUAAAAGGAAGUUUUUACAAUGAUUAUGAGCGUGACUUUUAUGGCAUCUUAGUGGAUAUAAUCGAGUUGGAGUAUUUUGGUAUAGGGAAUAGAGUUGUUCUAUUCAAGUGUCAUUGGUUUGAUACUGAAAAAGGAAUAAAGGUAGAUCGAUUGCAUGGUCUUGUUGACGUCAAUUACAACUUAAUACUGGCCAGUAAUGAACCAUUUGUUUUAGCUGCCCAAGCUCACCAAGUUUAUUAUAGUAGUUAUCCAUCAAGAAUAAGAGAUCGACGUGAUUGGUGGGUAGUAUUUAAAACAAAAGCUAGGAGUAGAUUUCAAAUUCCUAUUAGUGGUGAUAGAGAAAAUCAAAGUGAUUUGAAUGAAGGAGUAUACCAAGAAGAUGUGUCCAAUUCAAUUACUAGUACUCAAUCAAAGGAAGUUGAUUUAACAGAGUUAGCGAGUGGUGAUUUUGAAGAGGUUAAUCUAUCGAUUGAGGAUGAAGAAGAUGAUAUCGAUAAAGAUGAAGAUGAAGAAGAUGACAUGGAAGGAGAAGAUAAUGAAGAUGAUGAUGAAGAUGAAGAUGAAGAUGAAUACGAAGAUGAAGAUGAAAAUGAAAAUGAAGAUCAUGUGGAGCACGACGAUUGUGAAACUUAUAAUGAUGAUAGUGAUAAUAAUGCAGAACAUGAGUUUGAUUAAUAAGGAAGUGAAUGAUGAUUGUAUCCACAUAGGAUAUUGGUUUAAUAUUUUAUUUUUACGGUAUUGUUGAACUUAAAUUUUAUAAUAUUAAAGUACUUUGACAUGAUGUAAAAUUAGAACGUUUGAGUUAAAAUCAAGAUUUAAAUGUUGAAAUUAGUUAAUAUAUAAUUGCUGCUUUGCUUCUAAAUUUUAAGAAUUAUAUGUGUCAUUGUUGUGAAUUGAUGUUUUUUAUUCUGUUAUAAUAAUAAUCAUAUUAAUAAUAAUUGCUAAUGGGAUUUUAACAAUACGUUGGAAAUUGCAAGAACGAUGGUUAAAGGGAAGCAAUCAAAAUUGAGACUUAGGUCUUCAUAUGCGAAGGGGAGUAUGGUUGUGCUUACAAGUUCCCAAGCGUGUGAUGAUAUAUCCAUUCCACAACAGGUGCAGCAGUAGAAUACUGAUGCGCCAUUUGAGACACAGUCUUUGUACGAUGCAUUUGCAGAGCAAGUAAAAAAUGAGACAUCUACACAUGAUAUUACAAGAUCCCCAUCUAUUGAUCUUAGUGGAAAUACAAAUGAGAAAUCGUUAAGAUCAAGAGGUAGAGGACCCAGUGUAGGACUACAGACUCCUGUAGAUCCAUCGGACAGACUGCGUAUAACUUCUAUUGGGGAUAGGUAUGUUAUCUUGUUAAACUUGUUAUAUUUUUCAACUCAAUUUAUAAUUUUUUUUAAUUUUAAUAUAUACAAUUAUUUGAAAUAUUUUACAAGCACUUUUUUCGAGAGAGGGGUCACAUCUACAAUAACAAGGAUCAUCAAAAAUCACUUUCAUAGUCCACGGUCGACAUGGAGGAAAGUCCUUAAUGAUAUGAAAAAGUUAAUGUUUAAAAAAUUUCAGGUAUUAUGUUUGUUAUUUAUUUAUUAAGCGUACACUUUUCCAUUAAUUUGUAUAACUUUGUUAAUUAUUGUAUUACAUUAUAUUGUAGGAAAAGUGUGUUUGGUCUGCAAAUAAAGAUGUUAUAGUUCGACGCAUAUGGGAAAAAAUUUGUUCCGAUCGAUUAAGAGACAUGCUUUCAGAAGAAAGGCAUAGAGUAAUGAUUAAAGCUAAAACUAACAACAUUAUAGAAUGCAGAGGCAUGUCGAGGGAAUGGAUCACAAAUGAAAUAUGGGACACCUUGAUCAAUACAGUAUGGGGUACAAAAGAGUGGCAAAACAAAUCGUGAAAAGCAAGGCAAAAUCGUUUAAUGCCAAAAGAAGAAAGCAUUCCAAAGCACACUGGCGGUUCAAUUCCAUUUGUGGUUCAUGCAAAAAGGAUGGUAUGAAUUAAUGUUACUUAGAAUUAAUGUUACUCAGAAUUAAUAUGUAUGUUUUCCCAUGAAUUUCAUUUAAAUUGUUUACAUAUAUAUUGGAUUUCGGUUUUGCUAUACAUGUUAUAGAUAUGUAGAAUAAUAUAUAUAUAUAUGUAUAUAUAUAUAUAUAUAUAUAUAUAUAUAUAUAUAUAUCGAUUAUGAUUGACUAAAUACAAUUGUUAAUAAAUUCAGGCAAUUGAGCUGAAAUGAGAUGUUACCUUCUUGGAAGUUUUCAACCGUACUCAUAAACGCUUAGGGGGUCAUGGUGAUUUUAUUGAUAACAAGUCCAAGUCUACGAGUGUAAGUAAAAAUUCAUUAAUUUUGACUAUUUCUUCUAAGUUGAUGUUCUACUUCAAUAUUAAUCAUUAAUGAUGGUUUUUAUGUAGGAAAUGUAUAAUUCUGUACUAUCGCAGAAGUAUGGCGAUGAGUCAUCUUCUCAGCCAGAAUUCGAUGCACAUGCUUGGACUGAAGCAAUUGGAGGGAAGGAGACUACACGCACUCAUGUGUAUGGGUUUGGCACUCGUGUCCCUACGACAGCUUUACUAACUGGAACACAAUCCAAUAUAGCAACAUCUGAGUCUACGUGUGGCCCUCUCAACUUAAACUUUAACAGUCUCGCAAAUGCAUUGGAAAAAAAAGUGAAAAAUCUUGCACAAAAUUUGAAUAAGAUACGUGAGCAAAUACGUGAGAAAAUACGUGAAGAAAUGAGAAAUGUGAUGGCAGAAGGCAUGAGUGAAUUUAUGGCACGUAUGGAAACCAUGUUCAUGAGUAAUGCGCGUUCAACCCUUGGCGAUGCGGGACCUUCAAAACUUGACAAGUAAGAAAAAAAAUUCCCUUACAUGAUGUAUAAUUUUUAGAGCAAACACUGGAUAAAUUUUAAGGAUGUUAUGUUUAAUAUUCAUAUGUAUCAAACUAUAUUAUAUAUUGUGUGUUAAGGAUAAUUUAUAAUUAGAUGUUAGGACUUGAAUCUCAAUUUUGUAAUGUGUUUUUAUUUAAUAUAUUUUAAAGUUGAAUGCAGAGUUAAAUUUAGUAUCGGAAACAAAAAUGGUAAUUUUUUCAGAAAAUUUAUUAUAAAAAUAAUAGGUCAAACUAUUACCAACGAAAAAUUCCGUUGGAAAGCAUAUUUCCAACGAAAAUUUCAGUUGGAAAUGCCAACCGAAUUUUUCGUUGGAAAUCCUUCUUUCCAACGGAAUUUUCAUUGGAAAUCUGUUGGAAAUUUCCAUCGGAUUUCUUAAAAAAAUGGCAAAAAUUCAAAUUUUCAACGGAUUUCCAACGGAAACUAUAAUCCACAAGACUUAUACCGACGGAAUUUCCAACGGAAAAAGGCCUAUUUCCAACAAAAAUUUUCGUUGGAAAUAGCCAAAUUUUUUGUAGUGUCUUUGAUCAGUUGUUAGGAUUUGGCAACUCUAAACAGUAGCUUCCUAAUGGUUUUUCUUUUUAUAACAUAACAGAUCGGUCACAAUAUGUCAAACAAGUGGUUCUAAUUUAACUAACUUGAGUUUCAGAGGUGAUUCACUACGAGAGGUAUAAAUAGCUUUCGAGAAGAGAAAAUUGUGAGAAAUAACCUUCCUCAUAAGCUCAAUUAAAAAAUAUCAUUUUUUUAUAAUUUUAAUUAUUUUUAGUCAAUUUUUGGCAUGACUUGACAACAAUACCCUUUAAACAAUUUAAGACAAGUUAAAAUGGUUUCAGUUUUCUCUAUCCCGCCAUCCAGACAAAAAUUUAAAAUUAAAUCUUGAUUUCUCUCUCUGAUCAAAUAAUGUCUAUCUCACCAUUCGGAGAUGACAUCUAGUUCUUUCUUAUUUUGUUUUAUUUUUUUAGAUAGUGGAUCUUGGGGUUCUCAAGGACGAUGAACAACAAUUUUACUAUUCUAUGAUGAUUGCAGGCAGCAUGAUGAAUUUGGUAAUUGGAUGCUUUAUGGUGAUGACUUGUUUCGAAACAUGUGCUGCGAUGGAGAUGCUUGUGUUGAUGAGUUGGAUCAGAUUGGUUAAGAUGAUGGGUUCAGGGAAAAGAAAUAGCUGAAGUAUGUUUGAUGGGUUUUAUAGUGGUUCACGGUUUUGUUGUGUCUGGAAUUGGGAUGAUUGUUAAGCAUGUUUGCUAGGAAUUUUAAUUUUUUUUAUGGGAUUUUGAAUUGAAAUUGUUCAAGAAAUAUUUUGUAAAAGGAGUAUAUUUUGUUUUUGCAUAAGGGGAGUGAGCAAGGCCCUCCCGAUAGGGAUUUAUUUUGUCUUGCUUUUAAGGGUUAUAGAGUUUUGUAACCUAUCUUUUAUGAAAUGCACAAUUUCAUGACUUAACAAAAAAAAAAGUACGUGUUUUAGAUUCUUGAGUUUAUUGGUUUAUUCAUAGAAUCUCAAAGUUAAGGAAUUGAAAUUGAUUAGAUUGGUUUUUAAGUAUUACGAGAUUGGUUUUUAGGCAUUUCGUGACUUAAUCACUGCGUGACUGAUUUUUAGGCAUUACGUGAUUGGUUUUAGGCAUUGCGUGACUGAUUUUUAAGCAUUGCGUGAUUGAUUUUUAAGUAAUGCCUAAGUCACAUAAUGCUUUACUAACUAGUCACGCAAUGCUUUACUAACUAGUCACGCAAUGCUUUACUAACUAGUCACGCAAUGCCUUACUAACAAGUCACGCAAUGCCUUACUAGCAAGUCACGCAAUGCCUAUAAACUAGUCACACAAUGCUUUAUCAGAAACUAGUCGCACAAUGCUUUAUCAGAAACUAGUCGCACAAUGCCUUAUCAAAAACUAGUUACGCAAUGCCUAUUAACUAGUCACGCAAUGCCUUAUCAAAAACAAGUCACGCAAUGCCCAAAGUCAAUCACGCAAUGCCCAAAGUCAAUCACGCAAUGCCUUAUCAGAAACUAGUCACGUAAUGCCUUAUCAAAAACUAGUCACGCAAUGUCCAAAGUCAAUCACCCAAUGCUUAAAAACUAGUCAUGUAAUUCUCAAAAAUCAUCAAAACUAUUGAAUUCCAUUUAACAAGAUCAACAACUUCAAACGAUACACGAUAUUCUAUUGAACAACAUAAUUAACGAAUAUGAAUGCUCAAAAUGUUCAAAAAUUUUUCUUCAUAUAUCAAAAAUCACUUCAAAAUGCUUAAAAAUGCUCAAAACACUCACAAGUUUUCUUCAUGUAUAAAAAACUACUCCAAAAUACUCAAAAUGCUUAAGCGUUUUUUUUUUCUGAUAAGAAAUACUCCAGAUAUGAAUAGUCUAGUGAGGAAAGUUCAAAAAAUAUGAGUUAGUUUGAGGCGUAGACCUAAACAUACUUGACCCGUUAAUAAGUUUCGGGUUGAGACGCGGAGGGUCGAUUUCAUUAAGGGUAAUUUUGUCCAAAUUUUAAUUCUUUUGGUUAAAACAGUUAAAAUUAUAAGGAGGCCUAUUGUUAAAAACAAGUUAUGCGUAGGGUCCAUUUAAAAAAAGAACUCUUUCGAGAAUCUAUACUGGUUUUAUAAUAGUAAAAUUUGUUUAUGGUAUUUUAUUGGCAUUGGACAUCAAAUUGAGUUUUGCCUUUACUUAACAUCAAAUUGAGUUUAUAAACAGUAAAUAAUAGACAAUUAUGGUUUCAACCAAAAAAUAACAAGUUAUAAAAAAAAAACACCGAAAAGCAAUAAACAAAGAUAGUAAACCCUAAAUAAAAAAAAUACUAGUGACAGACAAAAUAGACCUCAAAGUGGUCACAAAUAUCAAUUUUUUGUACCGAAUAAGUCAAAUUGCACCAUAUUUCUUGGACUAACCUGUUGAAAAUUCAAUUUGUCCCUCUUGAUUCUUUCCCCUUUAUUUCGUUCCCUCCUCUUUCAAAUAUUCAAUCUUUUUCUUGUAAAAAGAGAACCCAUUAACCUUAAAAUGCAAUAUUUUGCCAAAAAAAAAAAACAAAUUAAAUGAGAUUGUAACAAAAUCUUUUUAUUUACCAGUCUAAUCUUCAAUCAAAAAAUGCUGAUUCAAAACAAGUUGAAUCUUCAAAAAUAAAACCCAUUAACCCUUAAAACACAUUGCUUUCCUUGUCUUCAAUCUCAUAUUCAAAAGCAAACAUUACUAUCCCUCUCUUGAUUCUCCCUCUUGGAUUGUUUUCUUUUUCUUUUGUUCUUUCUCUCUUAAUUUUUAUGUUAAUCUCAUUCAAUUUAGGAUUAAAGUGUUUUUGUUAAUUUUUUUUUGUCACGUCAACAUUUGUCAUGUAAAUAUUUUUAUCAUGUUAGUAACUGUCACAUUAACAUAAAUGUCAACGAUUAUGAUGUUAUGUCACAUUAAUACAUAGUCAAUAUCAUGUCAACUAGAAGUGUCACAUUAAUUUAGUUAAAACACCACAUCAACAUACUUAAGGUUAAAUUUAACGGUAUUAGAGUUAAGUAUUGAGAUUAACACAUUGAUAAAGUAUAAGGAUUCGAUUUACACAAAUUAUUAUACAGGAACUUAAUUUAUACAUUUUUGUAGACUACAAUGAUCAAUUGCAUAAUUUAACCAAAAAAUUGAUAUAAAAUUAAUUGAAAAGAAAGUAAUGUAAACAUCCAUGAUAAUUCUGUUUCUUCCCAAACAAAAUGAUGCAAAUUGCAAAUGAUUGCGGACUAAUUGGAAAAUAUUCAAUCCCAUUUUCAUUUUCAUCGCUACUUUUAUUAUUUAUUUUUUACUUUGGAAAGUAAAAGGUAGAUAGUGCAUUUGGUUAUAAAUGAAAAUAAUAAUUUUUUGAAUGAUUAAAAUUGUAAUUAUACUAAUUUAUAAGAGAAUAUACAGUCCAUGCUUUUACUUUGUUAUAUAGAACAAUUAUAUUAGAUAGAUGAGGAGAAUGCUACAAAAGUGCUUGAGACUGUUUGAAUUGGAGCAUGAUACCUGUGAAAAACUCAGCUUAGUAUCACCACUCCCAUAUAUUUUGUUUUGAGGCUUGCUUCAUUUAUCGGGCAUUGCUUAGGAUAUGCGUGGAGUGGGGUUGUACAGGUUCCCGCUUUGUCAUUCUUUUCCCAGGAUGUGGCUGCAACUCCUUUGAGUUAGAAAGGUGAAUGCUUUGUUUAAACUAUAAGAAAUAGAGUGAAGGCAAAAGGCUUUGCUAUUUGGGAAGCAUUUCUGAAUUCGUAAUUUUUAUCGUAAGCCAAGGUUAUUCUCUAAGCCCAAAGUUGUAGAUCAGAAUGCAAGCCUGGCACACGGUUAUGACUGCUCUGUUGAACAUGUUUUGCAUUUGGCUUAUUGGCUGUAGUUUAGGCAACGGGGCUUAACAUUUGGGAUGCCAUCUGAUGUGCAAGGAUGUGUCUAGCUUCCAUUGGGAAUAUCCAUCCUACUUGAAGAGCCCAGUUAAUUUAAAGUGGUACAACAGUUUGGCUGGAAAAUUCUUUAGAAAGCGAGAACCAAUACUCCACCGUUCCUCUUUUUCCAUUUUGACAGAUUUGUGAGGAUGUUUUUACUCGUUAUAAUGGAAUGAUCGUUAUAAUGGAAUGAGCUAUUCUUUUUUUUUUAAUUACAUUACUGUAUUUUAGUCAUUUAUUUAUUUUUAAUUAAUUUUUUUAAAAAAACUUUUUUAAAAAAUAAAUAACCUAAACCAAUUAUCAAAAUUAACAAUCAAAUAAAAUUUUAAUUAUUAUUUUUUUAGCGUUUCACACUUUGGCUUGUGCUACUUGCAAAUUAAUUAAAUUAAUGUGCUAUUUCCAGUUCACCAGUCCAUGUGAACCGAUAAGAUUUUUUAAAGUUUAUCAGAUGACUUUCUGUCAGCUGUAUCAUUAGUGAAAAUGAUGACAGGAGUUGAAAAGAAUAUUUAUAAUGUAAAGUAUGAGGCUUAUAAUUCAUAUAUGAUGCAAAUACAUGUUAUUUUUAAAACCACAAAUGAUGAGCUUGAAAGAUUUCAAACUUUUUUAUUACAGCGAUCAAGCAAAGGUUACUAGUUACCAUGGAACACCUAAUAGAAAGGCUAAGUGCUUACCACCAUAUCAUAGCACACCUUAUUCCUUCCCUUGAAUUAGUUGUAUAUUUGUGGGGUAGCUCCGCAGCACAACUGUUUCAACUGUGAUACUAGCCCCUAAUCCAAACAAAAUACCCCACUGUAGACCUUCGCCCGUGGUGGCCUUUCCUACCUCCAUGGACCUCCUUCUCGUCUCAUCCAGAAUAAAGAACACGGUUGUAGAACUCACGUUCCCAAAUUCUUUAAGUACAUGUCAAGUUUCUAAAAGUUUAUCCUUUUUCAGGCCAAGUUUGAUUUCAAUCUGGUCGAGAAUUGCAUUCCCUAAUGGAUGAACUAUCCAAAAGAAUGAGUUCCAAUCAUUGAUGCUUCUUGGGCUUAAUGCUUCCGCCAAGCACUUGUCAAUGUUAUUAGCUAUCAAUUUUGGAACAUCCCUUGUCAAGUGAAUACCAUGGCCUGCUUCAUGCAUAUGUCCUUUAAUCGCACCCACCGAGUCAGGAAUAAUUUUCUCCGUUGCGGAAACAAUUUGGAAGAGUGGUCUUUCCUUCAAGACAUUAGGGUCAGCACCCCUAAUCAUAGCCGCUGCACCAUCACCCAUAAUCGCUUUGCUAAUGAGCGAAGGUAUGUUAUGUUCAUUGGGUGCACGAAAAGUAGGAAGCGUAAUGUCAGAGAUGAUGACAAUAACUCGUGCACCAGCAUUGCUUUCAGCGAUGUCCUUGGCCAUUCGGAGGAUGGUACCGCCAGCAUAGUAGCCUUGGAAGUACAUCAUCACUCUCUUGACAGAUGGUCGGCCAAGUAGCUUUGUAAGACGAUGAUCUGCUCCAGGCAUUUCCAUACCCGAACCUGCAGAAAAUAUGAGGUGUGUGAUCUGAGAUUUUGGUUGCCCCCACUCCUGGAUCGCUUUUGAUGCUGCUUCCAUGGCAAGUUUGGGUACUUGAGCGGCAAGAAUUUGUUGACUUAUCUCAAGAGAUGGGCUGCUAUAGGCGCUGAUGUUGGGAUUCUUAUUAAUAAUUUCUUCAGUGAGGACAAAGUGGCGUUUGCUUAUCAUUGAUUUCUCACCCGUUUGGUUUAUAAAUAACCAUCAUAAAUAUAACAACAUUUACUCAAUAAGGAAAAUCAAAUUGUAAUAACUAAAGAAUUUUGCUAGUAGAAAUCAGAUAUGCUUAAUAAUCCUUGCAUAGCUUUAUACUUAACAGCUGUAGUGAUGAUUUAUACUAAAAAAAUAUUGCAAAAUGCAUUUUUUUUCCUUCUACAAUUUUUUUAAUACAAGUGAAAAUUGAAUGAUUAAUUGCAUUAUGAAUUUUGAUUACUACGAUAAUGUUAAUAUAUAUAUAUGUGUAUGUGUUUAAACUCUGUUAAUUUAUUUUUAAAAAAAUUCAUCAUCAACUAUAUAUUUAUAUAUACGUUUGAAUUUUUUUUUCAAUUGUGUUGUAUGCUGGUUUUUGCCGACUCUAAAUAUAAUAAUUAAGAAAGUCAACUUGAGGGAUAUAAGAGAUGGGUAGGUAGAGAGGUUUUUGCACAGCAUAGGGGAGGCAUGAAUUACCCCAUGCAAGGACGAGCCAUGUCAAACCCUAUUCUAUAAAAUAAUUACGACGUCAUUUACAUACCCAAUAGAAUGUUUGCAUAUUUAGGAAGUUUGAGAAAUCGUUAAAAGACGAUAUUGCCUCUAAUAGUACCAUUAAGUCGAUUAAGCCUCGAACUAGUUCAAAUAGAAAUUUUAAGGUGAAAUUAAGAGUUUCACAGUUCAAGGAUGACUCAAAAUGGUAAUUCGGAGUUCGAUGAUCAAUUUGAAGUCAAACCGAAAUUUUCACUAUCUAGGGGUAAAAUGAUCAUUUGCCACUUGGGGAUAAAAGGGGAAUUUUUAGAAAAGAUUUUUGGCUCCAUUUGACUUAUUGGAGUAUGAUUUGAGUAUUGGAAUAUGAUUUGAAAUUUAAAAGUGAAAAAUUUUAAUUUCGGUAUAAUUUGGAGUAUAGAGGCGAAAUAGUAAUUAUGCCACCCUGGGGGCAAAUCGGUAAAUUUUCACCCCCGACACUUGUCAAGACCAAGAGAUUUUAUUCAUCAUACAAAUGGAUAAACAUGAGAAAUGUGUGGUAGAGAAUUAAAGAAUUAAAAGUCAAAUAUUUAAAAUUUGAACCAAUAAGGAAAUGUCAUGUGUCAUGUUUUUAUUAUUUUAUUAUUUCUUUAUAAAAAGACAAAAAAUAAGCCCAUUUCUCCCAUAGUGAUCAGCCAAACCAGAAGAGAAGAGAAACCAAAGAAGAACAAACCCUAGGUGGGAAAAAUCAAAGAGAAAGUGUUGGAAAUCAAGGAUUUGAUCAUGCAAAGGUAAAAUUUCUUUGAUUUUACUAGUGAUUUACCUUACCCAUGCAUUUUCCCUUAAUUCCAUGGUUAAAUUACAUGUUUUCAUGAUGAAUUCAUGGCUGAUCAAAAUGGAUAUGGAGAGAGAAUGAUCUUGGAUUGGUUUGAUUUUUAGGUAUGUUAGUGUUUUUAGGUGAUUAAUGAUGUGUAGCAUGAAAACAAGUGAAGAAAACCACCAAAGGUUUGGAACCCAUCAAUAGCCGAAUUCUCUAAGUGAAUAAUGAGGAAGAAUGAGAUGUUAUUCUUGGUGAUUUGAUUAAGAAAUAAUAGUUUUUGAUGUAGGAAUUAAUGAAUUAUGGAGAGAAAAUUAAGUAGGAAAAAUCACGGAGUUAGUGUACCAUUGUUGGCCGAAAGUUCCAAGAAGAAAAGUGAAGAUAAAUUUUACCUAAUUGUAUGUUAAUUAGUUGUGCUUGGUGAAUUGAGGGAUUGAAAAAAAAAUGAAGCAAGUUGGAGUGAAAUUGGACGCAUUGGCCAAUUUAUCGGAUGAAAAAUCGACUUAGGCCAAUACCGGGUAUAGAUGGCUACCCGUGCAUUUUUCAUUUCAUAUCAUGCAUAUAUAUCGAGCCUGAAAUAGCUUAUGACUGUUAGACACAAUUUAAUUGGAAUAUGUGUUAUGGAUUAUGGUUAGGUGGUGAGCCAUUAGAUACGGGUAAAGGACUAUACCCGUGAACUGAAAAUAGGAGUAUUUCUGCUCUUAAUAUUGUGAGUGAACUUAUUAUCGUCUUAACUAUCUAGAGUAGUUUUAUACAAUUGUGUGAUUUUAUGGAAAAUGGGUUUAAAUGGUAAAUUGCUAUGUUUUAGGAGAAAUUAUGAUUUUAUAAAAUGAUUUUAUAAAUUUUCUGAAAAAUCGAAUACUGAUUUUGAAAAUAGAGUAAUUGGAGACUGCCUACUUGUGUUGUAAAAUUAUGAUUUGAAUUAGAUGGCUUGUGAUAAAUUGGCAUGAUUGGCUGAAUUUAUACUUGUGUUGAAAAAUAUGACUGUCUGUUUUGCCUUGAUAAAUUUGUUAGCAAUGUAAUUGCCAUUCUAUGCCAUUGAGAUUUGAUCAAUUGGUGGAUUAAAGAUUAGCUACUGCAGUGGUGGAGGGUUCCGUGGAUCAGCCUAUUAGAGGGGCACGAUAAACUCCUUUAUAUUCUCACCUCGGUCGUAGAGACGCGUAGGGUAUCUCCUGAGGUGGGCUUUUUGAGUGCACUUCAUGUUAACCACCACAUAAGAGUGAGACUCAGCCAACGCCAAGGAACAGUUGUGAUGUUCAACGAAAAAUGUGUUUUAUGGGAAAUAUGAAUUUUUAACAACCUUGGUGGUCUCAGUGGGAUACCUUGACGAAGGUAUCCGCGAGAAUGAUUUUGGCAGGAGCCAAGUUUUGUGAGAUAUAUAAGCCAUAUUGAUUAAUUGAGUAAACUGAAUAUUCAUGUUAUGAAACAUAUAUUGGAAAAGAAUAUUUUAAUUCGUCUCCAUUUACUCGCAUUUAGAUAGUUUAGAUGGUGUUUGUUUACUCACUAGGAUUAUGUAAUCAUAAUUUCACCCCUCUUCCUAUCCAUUUUUCAGGCUCAUGACAGUUUGUUGAUAGUUGAUUAAGACGAGAAUUAAUCUCGAAGUUGCAUCCUAAAAAGUAAGGGUUCGUAGCCCUACACUUUCUUGGUCAGUUGGGGGCCCACGUGUCACUGUAAAAGUAAUUUUAUACUUCAAUUAUCUGAUUUAAAGUAUGUAUGAACAUAUUUAUCUUUUACACCAUGUUUUUGACGGGUUUCAAUAUUUUUGAAGAAAAAUUACGAAGGUGCCCCUGUGAGCUAAAAAAAUAAUAUUUUAUUGUUUUGAUUUGGAAAUGACUUAUGAUUUUUGUGAAAUGUGAGAUUUAAUAAUUGUCGCUCACCGAGGAGAUGCGGAAGCUGAUGCUAAGCCUUGCGAGGUUUCAAUCGGCAUUCGGGGUAAUGAGUGCCUAUCGAGACGUUGCGACGAUUGUCACGGGCCCGAUGGGAGUUCCGGGUCGUGACAAUUUAAGUGGUAUCAGAGCCAGGUUUAAAGAUCAAAGAUUUUGAUUUUAAAACUUUGGAUUUUAAAGUUUUCGAUUUUAAAAUUGUUUUAAGAAAUGCAUAUUAACACUGCGUGGCCCCGAGUUAGGUUAAGUCAGGUUAGAUUGAAUAGGAUGAGAUGAAUUUGAAAAUAUCUAUUUUACUUAUUAUACGUGAUAAGCACAAGAGGAUAUAAAUGGUUAUGAAAAUUGUGACGUAAGCUUGAAGGGAAACCAAACAGUUGAGAAUGAUUAGUGUAGUAACCUUAAAUAUAGAUGAAUAACAUUGAUAAAGUAAACUCCAAUAGCCACAGUGCCGCGGUGGUAAGAACACUUCAUGUCUAAGACUCAUGAAUAAAAUGAGACAGAUGUGAAGUUGAAUUCACGAGUUGACCUAAGGUCAUUGAACUUGAUUCUAAGUUUUGGUAAUUGGAGUUUAAAGGUUUAGGAAGGUAUUGAUAUGAAUGAGUUAAAGCUGAAAUGGUUAAAGGCGUUCCCUUCGGGGGAAGUAAAAGGUCUGGAGUUCGAUAUUUGGUGUAUGCGAUCCUAUAGGGCAGGGAAGCCAAGGGGAUCGAUACAGAUAUAACAAUACCUUGGAGUGGGCCUCGAAAAGAAUGCCAUAUAAAUGGCUAAGUUACGGGUUAAGUGAUCACAUGUUGUGAGACAUAAGUUUAAGAUAGAUAUCCCUAAGAAAAUACUCAAGAGAAGUUUUGCUGUGGAUCUUAUAAAAGCAAGCACUAAGUUAUGUGAUUAUAAAAAGGAAGCUAUAAACUGAGAGUGAUAUUAGUAUUAAUAUUGAAAAGUACUUAAAGAGAAUCUAGUUUUAAGUCUUGCAAUUUUAAGUACAAUUUGUAAAUUGGUUAAGGAAGAAUGAUGUUAUAUUCGUAUGAAAGAGUGAAACUUUAUUAAGGAAGCAUAUGGAAAAGAAUAAGAGAAUAUAUUAGUUUGACUUACUAUAAGAGGGCAAAAGUUGGAUGGCCAUGAGUGGCUUGUAGGUAACCCAGGAAUGUAUAGGUAAGUGUGCAAGGGAGCUAUGAUCGAUAGAUAAGGGUAGAACUUUAAUGAUGAGANNNNNNNNNNNNNNNNNNNNNNNNNNNNNNNNNNNNNNNNNNNNNNNNNNNNNNNNNNNNNNNNNNNNNNNNNNNNNNNNNNNNNNNNNNNNNNNNNNNNNNNNNNNNNNNNNNNNNNNNNNNNNNNNNNNNNNNNNNNNNNNNNNNNNNNNNNNNNNNNNNNNNNNNNNNNNNNNNNNNNNNNNNNNNNNNNNNNNNNNNNNNNNNNNNNNNNNNNNNNNNNNNNNNNNNNNNNNNNNNNNNNNNNNNNNNNNNNNNNNNNNNNNNNNNNNNNNNNNNNNNNNNNNNNNNNNNNNNNNNNNNNNNNNNNNNNNNNNNNNNNNNNNNNNNNNNNNNNNNNNNNNNNNNNNNNNNNNNNNNNNNNNNNNNNNNNNNNNNNNNNNNNNNNNNNNNNNNNNNNNNNNNNNNNNNNNNNNNNNNNNNNNNNNNNNNNNNNNNNNNNNNNNNNNNNNNNNNNNNNNNNNNNNNNNNNNNNNNNNNNNNNNNNNNNNNNNNNNNNNNNNNNNNNNNNNNNNNNNNNNNNNNNNNNNNNNNNNNNNNNNNNNNNNNNNNNNNNNNNNNNNNNNNNNNNNNNNNNNNNNNNNNNNNNNNNNNNNNNNNNNNNNNNNNNNNNNNNNNNNNNNNNNNNNNNNNNNNNNNNNNNNNNNNNNNNNNNNNNNNNNNNNNNNNNNNNNNNNNNNNNNNNNNNNNNNNNNNNNNNNNNNNNNNNNNNNNNNNNNNNNNNNNNNNNNNNNNNNNNNNNNNNNNNNNNNNNNNNNNNNNNNNNNNNNNNNNNNNNNNNNNNNNNNNNNNNNNNNNNNNNNNNNNNNNNNNNNNNNNNNNNNNNNNNNNNNNNNNNNNNNNNNNNNNNNNNNNNNNNNNNNNNNNNNNNNNNNNNNNNNNNNNNNNNNNNNNNNNNNNNNNNNNNNNNNNNNNNNNNNNNNNNNNNNNNNNNNNNNNNNNNNNNNNNNNNNNNNNNNNNNNNNNNNNNNNNNNNNNNNNNNNNNNNNNNNNNNNNNNNNNNNNNNNNNNNNNNNNNNNNNNNNNNNNNNNNNNNNNNNNNNNNNNNNNNNNNNNNNNNNNNNNNNNNNNNNNNNNNNNNNNNNNNNNNNNNNNNNNNNNNNNNNNNNNNNNNNNNNNNNNNNNNNNNNNNNNNNNNNNNNNNNNNNNNNNNNNNNNNNNNNNNNNNNNNNNNNNNNNNNNNNNNNNNNNNNNNNNNNNNNNNNNNNNNNNNNNNNNNNNNNNNNNNNNNNNNNNNNNNNNNNNNNNNNNNNNNNNNNNNNNNNNNNNNNNNNNNNNNNNNNNNNNNNNNNNNNNNNNNNNNNNNNNNNNNNNNNNNNNNNNNNNNNNNNNNNNNNNNNNNNNNNNNNNNNNNNNNNNNNNNNNNNNNNNNNNNNNNNNNNNNNNNNNNNNNNNNNNNNNNNNNNNNNNNNNNNNNNNNNNNNNNNNNNNNNNNNNNNNNNNNNNNNNNNNNNNNNNNNNNNNNNNNNNNNNNNNNNNNNNNNNNNNNNNNNNNNNNNNNNNNNNNNNNNNNNNNNNNNNNNNNNNNNNNNNNNNNNNNNNNNNNNNNNNNNNNNNNNNNNNNNNNNNNNNNNNNNNNNNNNNNNNNNNNNNNNNNNNNNNNNNNNNNNNNNNNNNNNNNNNNNNNNNNNNNNNNNNNNNNNNNNNNNNNNNNNNNNNNNNNNNNNNNNNNNNNNNNNNNNNNNNNNNNNNNNNNNNNNNNNNNNNNNNNNNNNNNNNNNNNNNNNNNNNNNNNNNNNNNNNNNNNNNNNNNNNNNNNNNNNNNNNNNNNNNNNNNNNNNNNNNNNNNNNNNNNNNNNNNNNNNNNNNNNNNNNNNNNNNNNNNNNNNNNNNNNNNNNNNNNNNNNNNNNNNNNNNNNNNNNNNNNNNNNNNNNNNNNNNNNNNNNNNNNNNNNNNNNNNNNNNNNNNNNNNNNNNNNNNNNNNNNNNNNNNNNNNNNNNNNNNNNNNNNNNNNNNNNNNNNNNNNNNNNNNNNNNNNNNNNNNNNNNNNNNNNNNNNNNNNNNNNNNNNNNNNNNNNNNNNNNNNNNNNNNNNNNNNNNNNNNNNNNNNNNNNNNNNNNNNNNNNNNNNNNNNNNNNNNNNNNNNNNNNNNNNNNNNNNNNNNNNNNNNNNNNNNNNNNNNNNNNNNNNNNNNNNNNNNNNNNNNNNNNNNNNNNNNNNNNNNNNNNNNNNNNNNNNNNNNNNNNNNNNNNNNNNNNNNNNNNNNNNNNNNNNNNNNNNNNNNNNNNNNNNNNNNNNNNNNNNNNNNNNNNNNNNNNNNNNNNNNNNNNNNNNNNNNNNNNNNNNNNNNNNNNNNNNNNNNNNNNNNNNNNNNNNNNNNNNNNNNNNNNNNNNNNNNNNNNNNNNNNNNNNNNNNNNNNNNNNNNNNNNNNNNNNNNNNNNNNNNNNNNNNNNNNNNNNNNNNNNNNNNNNNNNNNNNNNNNNNNNNNNNNNNNNNNNNNNNNNNNNNNNNNNNNNNNNNNNNNNNNNNNNNNNNNNNNNNNNNNNNNNNNNNNNNNNNNNNNNNNNNNNNNNNNNNNNNNNNNNNNNNNNNNNNNNNNNNNNNNNNNNNNNNNNNNNNNNNNNNNNNNNNNNNNNNNNNNNNNNNNNNNNNNNNNNNNNNNNNNNNNNNNNNNNNNNNNNNNNNNNNNNNNNNNNNNNNNNNNNNNNNNNNNNNNNNNNNNNNNNNNNNNNNNNNNNNNNNNNNNNNNNNNNNNNNNNNNNNNNNNNNNNNNNNNNNNNNNNNNNNNNNNNNNNNNNNNNNNNNNNNNNNNNNNNNNNNNNNNNNNNNNNNNNNNNNNNNNNNNNNNNNNNNNNNNNNNNNNNNNNNNNNNNNNNNNNNNNNNNNNNNNNNNNNNNNNNNNNNNNNNNNNNNNNNNNNNNNNNNNNNNNNNNNNNNNNNNNNNNNNNNNNNNNNNNNNNNNNNNNNNNNNNNNNNNNNNNNNNNNNNNNNNNNNNNNNNNNNNAUGUAAUCAUAAUUUCACCCCUCUUCCUAUCCAUUUUUCAGGCUCAUGACAGUUUGUUGAUAGUUGAUUAAGACGAGAAUUAAUCUCGAAGUUGCAUCCUAAAAAGUAAGGGUUCGUAGCCCUACACUUUCUUGGUCAGUUGGGGGCCCACGUGUCACUGUAAAAGUAAUUUUAUACUUCAGUUAUCUGAUUUAAAGUAUGUAUGAACAUAUUUAUCUUUUACACCAUAUUUUUGGCAAGUUUCGGUAUUUUUGAAGAAAAAUUACGAAAAUGCCCCUGUGAGCCAAAAAAAAUAAUAUUUUAUUGUUUUGAUUUGGAAACGACUUAUGAUUUUUUUGAAAUGUGAGAUUUAAUAACUGUCGCUUAUCGGGGACAUGCGGAAGCUGAUGCUAAGCCUUACGGGAUUUCGAUUGGCAUUCGAGGUAAUGAGUGUCUAUCGUGAUGUCGUGGCAAUUGUCACGGGCCCGAUAGGAAGUUCCGGGUCGUGACAAGCCAUGUCUAUCUACAAUCCGUCCGUAAGAAGGUAGAGGCAAUAGUACCAUAUAUCAUAAACACCAUAAUUACUAUUUAAACUAUAGUCAAUAAAUGCACUAAAAAAAUGUAACUACAAUAAUGACUCUAAAAAAAUUAUUAAGAAGGUGGGGAGAAAAUUAUGGCAUGACUAGCGGCUAAACUUCACAAACAAGAUUAAACCUGUCCAAAGGGUGGGAUACCCCUUCAACUUACGGGCUUGGUCCCAAUUCUAGAUUUAGAUUUUUUAAUUGAGGUAAAAGAUAUCAUCAAUUCCAUUUAAAACCAAAAAGAAGAAUAGCUAGAUCUUAAUGAGAGGAUGAAAAACAAUAUAAUAAAUUUGAUUCAAGACAGUAUAUUUAAAAUGUUUUAUUAAAAAUAUUUUUAAUAAUAUUUUUUUGUAUUUUUUAAAAUAUUUUUAUAAAUUUGACUUCAUUAUAUAAAAUUUUAGAUGUAUUAUGAAUAAAAUGUAUUUAUAAAAAAAGCAUACACUAGUAAAAGUUGCACUUUUUUAUAUUACUAUUAAAUGUAAAAAAAAUGGAACUAAAAGUUUGAAUAGCUGUACUUUUUAAGAUUUCACUAUAUAAAAAAAUAUAUGUUGCCUAAAGACGUGUGAUUAAAACUCAAUUUUGUUGCUUUUUAGAAAAAAUUAAAAUUCAAUUUUGAUGUAGUUAAAAGAUCUAAAAGGAGGAUGAAAAUAUGAACAAAGCUUCCAUCAUGGUCAUUAAUUUGGCAUAGUUGAAGUCUUCCAUACCAAUGGAUUUGGAGAAGGCACCUUUGAUGGUUCUUGUAUGACUCGUAAUCUUCUGUUUAUUACAUUUUGCCUCAUAUGUUAUAUCAGGAAGGAAAUUCAAUUGUGUCAAGAUUUCUUCAGCUACCAGUUGAGGAAUUGAAGAGUUACACUCCAAUAUUAAAAAAAUAAUAAUUUAAGUGACAAGAACGGAACGGUGAUGACAAUAAAAAAAGUAAGAUUUCUUUUCAUGCUCCGAUAUGAAAAACCUUAUAUGUUACAUGUAAUAAAGACAUGAUAUUCGUCCAUGAAAGUCCCAUCCCAACAAUAUACUGUAUAUUAAAAAAUCAUUAAUUAUCCAAAACAGGAUUGUCCUCAAUCGAAAAUUUUGUUUCCUACAAACAUAUCUUUUGAAACUUUAGUACUUUGAAUUAGGAGUUUGGUCAAGUUUAAGAAAAAUUAUUCGAUAUUGGUGUAUUUUAUAUUUAAAUUUUAUUUUCUUAAAAAAAUUGAUGUUUCAUAGUUUUAAAUACUAAAAGGCAAAAAAAUCAUGUAAAUUAAAUGUGAAAUUUGAGAAAAAGUAAAAGUAUUGUGUGCUAAGAAAAUGAAAGAGAGUAUAGAUUUGGGACAUCCAAAAAAAUGAACAAAAAAAAUUAAAAAGAGUAGUAAAAAUGUUGUUGUCUUAAGAAAACUUCAAUUGCUCGGGUUUAAUGUAUCAAAAGAUUUGUAUACAAAAGUCAAUUAGAAUUUCUAAAACAAAUUUGUAGCAAAAACACACAUUCAAAUUGAUAUUUAAAUUAUUGCAUGUAUUCAUUUGGAAAAGCAUUUGAUAUGACAUACGAAUGCUAGAAUUCAUUUAAGAAAACUAAUUAAUUUGGAAUUGUAAUACUUAACGAAAAUAUAUCAGAAUUAUAUGAAUUAUAUGUUGGUAGUUUAGAAUUUGGUGGAUCUUUUAGUCCACAUUAGAAAGGAAAAUUUCUUUGAAUUAAUUUUGGUGGACUACCAUAAUGCUAUAAUUUUCAGAAAUGAAAUUAAUAUGAAUUAUGAAAAGUUAUGUUUGUUAUCAAGUGAAAAGUUGUGUUUUUUCAUUGAUAAAAAAUCAUUACAUUUGUUCACCAAGAGCUAUCUCAUGAAAAGAUGUGUUUUUAUUAAGAUAAUUUACUACAACAACAUAAAAAAAAAAGCCGUUAAACAAUCGUCGAAAUAAGUUUAAAAAAUGUCAAAUGUCUUUCAAAGAAGUAAAAUAUUUUACGGGAUUAACGAAUGUUUUUGUUGACUAGUAAAAUAUUUUACAUAAAAAAAGUUUUUUUUUCUUUCCAAGCAAUCAAAAGUUAUAAAAAAUUUUCUGAAGAAAAGGGUCAAAAUGUAAAUGUCAUUACCUACUUAGGAAUUUUGAAAAUUAGCAUUCCUUCUUAAUAGAUAUUUUCUCUCAGGGUAGCAAACAAUGAUUAUUUUGUGUUCCAUUGCCCAAAACUGUAAUUCCCCCAUUUGAAAACAUUAUGCUUGAACUGAACUUGGUUCUGUUUAUGUACCCAAAUGAGAACAGACAAAUAAAAAUGGAUUGUUGUAAUGUGUUGUUACGUGCACAAUGCCUUGAGAUAGACUAGCAUUCGGUAAGUACCAAUGGAAUAGACUAGAAAUCGAGUACUUAAAAUGAUAUUGAAAUACUAUAAAGAAGAACAAAUGGCAAGCAUGGAAUUUGUUAAAGUAGACAAAUUAAAUACUAUUAAAAUCAAAAUCAUCUACCCAUAAUUAAUACAUUAUAUGUUUAUCUAUCCAUUUAUUUACAAUAAAUUUAUAUCAAUCCAUUUAUCUUCUGUCUAUCCAUAAUCAAUAAAUUGAACAAGUUGAGUUCAAGAACUGAUUGGAUUUUCAUCAAUUUUCAAGGGCAUUUGGCAAGGGGAGUGGAGAUAGGGGGGAGAUGGGAGGCCCAAAGAAUGAAGGGAGGGGGGAAGCCUUGUGGUAGGGGUGUACCAAGUCUAGUUAUUUCAACUCAUUCACCAUUAAUUAAGUUUGACCGAGUUAAGCCAAGUUCAAAUUUUGUAACUCGGUUUGAGUAAUUCGAAAAAUUUUUAAUAUAUAAAUUGAAUAAUUAUUUAUUGACAUUUUAAAAUUUGCUUUGAAUUUUUAUCUCAAACUUAAGCUUGAGCUCAAGUCAAAUUUCCACCUUAUAUAAAUGAAUGAUAAUCAAGCUAAGCGAUUAAUUCACCCCCAAGUUGUGACACUAGCAAAUUUGGUCUUGGGUCGCCCAAUUGCCAAUAGAAAAAGAAAAGAAAAGAAAAGGAACCUAAAAGGAAACUCUAAAAAAUCAAAAGGUAAUAACAAAUAAGAAAUGAAAAUAUAUAAAUUUUCUAUUUUAUUUUAUUUCUUUUUCUUUUUUCGUAUUUCCUCCAUUUUUUACUAUUUUCGAGAAAAUGUGAUCACUUGAAGAUUUUUUCAAAUUAUAAUUUUUUUUUAAAUCCUUCUCAUUUUUCUUCUUCCAUAUUUUAUUUUCCUUUUUUUUUUCUCAAUAUAUGUUUCAAAAGAAAAGGAUAGGGGAUGAUCUAGACAUGUUUCAAGUAAUACAGAAUAUGAAUUAUGUGAAUUAUCAACAAUGACUAGUAUAUUGUGUUACUAUAACAUUUUAUCUCCCAAUUACAUCAUUGCUUUGAUAAAUUUUUGUUGCAUAGAUGUUAAUAAGAAACAUGUAAACGUACAGCAACAGGCCUAUGGGUAGUAGUAGUAGUAGCAGCAGCAAUGAAGACAAUAAGAUCUGCCUGCAUCCAUUGUCGUUGCUGAUUGCAUUUUUCACUUUGAGUACAAAGACAUUAGUAUAUAAGUUAUCCUAUUUAUUGUUCAACUGAAAAACCAACUCCACUCAUUUGAUUUUUGGCACAACCCUAGUAUACAUGCUUUUAAAUAAAUACCAUAUAAUACACAUGGGAUAUCUUACAUGCUACGUAGUAUUAUACACUACAAUUUUCUUCCUAUGUUCUCUCUCAGAAUUCAAGUGACAAACCUGUAAAAAGCAAGCAGAAGUCUCGUUUGAAGACAAAAUGAGCUGUGCAUACUGCUGCCAGUGUUGUACUGCAAAAAUCUCCAAAUCAAGAAUUCAAGCAAAAUAUGUUCCCCCCUUUUUUGCACUCAAAUUAAUCAUCCCUCUGGCCGAAAGAAAGUAUAUGUUGAACUAGUCUCGGUCUUACUAGCCUGCACAGAAAUGUUUUAGCUUCUUCAUGAGGCCAACUUAUGUAAGAUAAAUGAAUUAGAUAAAUGAUUCACCUUAUAUCUUACCAUUUUCAUAACCAGCUGCGCUUGAAGGAAAUAACAAAUUGUUUUCAAAUUACUGAGGAAUAAUGAGUCAAUUAACACCCCUGCCAUCUCAUUAUUGUUAGAAAAUAUCUUAGCCCGAGGUGAUGGGAAACUAGGAAUAAGCCCUUGAUGAUGCCACUAAAUGAUAGUUAGAUACAUGCAGAGAUAAGAAGGAUGUGGAAAGCAUUUUUGGUUGGUUAUGUCAAAAGCAUCUUUUAGUUGGUUCUCACUUUCAGUGUUAAGUGUUUCAAUUAAAAAACUGCAAUGAAUACUAGUAGCAGUUUUAUUGUCAAUUGGGAACUACCGUGAUGUGCAAUUUCAGAAAUCCCUGAAAUCAAAUUUUGACCUUCUUCCGUAAAAUGCAUUAUAACAAUGAUGACUAAUUACUAAAGAAUGCUGUUUUGAUAGAUAUAACUUAUUACAGCAUAUUAAUUUGAAUAAGUGAAAGGUUAUCUUACACAUGGUUCUAUUCGAGAUUUUCUUACUGGACAAUGUUUUUUCUCUCAAUAUCAAAAUUAUAUGACUCAUGAAAUGUCCCAUAAACAAUAAAUAUGUGAAACAAAAACUACAACAAUGCCUUUAUCUAUUAGUUAUAUCAUUUUAUUCUACUUCUUCUAAAGAGACAAAGCUUUGAUGAAAGUUAUACCAACCUCAGGAUUACGAGAUGGUCCAGUAGGAAGAACAGGAACAAGAGAUGUCCAAAGCACAGGGUCCACCAAGGAGUCAAUGGUAUUGUAGUUGGUGAGAAGUGGAGCAGACAAGAAAGGAGUCAAGGGGAACACAUUUUUCUGAAGAGACAAUCCAGCACUCAUUCCCAGUGUGGCUCCAAGUCUGUCACUCCCAGUAUCAUGAUUUACUGAUUUUUCAGCUGCCUUGCCAUGAUCCAUUUUGUUUAUAGUAUUUUUGUUCUCAUUCUCAUCAUUAUCAGCAUUGUUUUCUUGUUUUUUCACUGCUCUCUCUUGCAGGCUCUUGAAAUCAGCAGAUCGAGACAAUAUACUCAAGGCAGAGGCAGAGGACCCUUUACGUUUUGUCCCUUCAAGGGAAGUGCCCAGACAGGGCAUUUGGUAUGGUUCAGUAGGCUGCACUGCCCAUUCUGAGGUUUUAAGUUCACUGCCAAUGUCUUCUGGGCAUGCAUGUUUAGCUUCUUCAGAAGAUUUUGCUCCGGGUUCUGCUUGACAAGUUUUGUUGGUUCCCCACCACUUAAUGCAACCUGUUAGAUCAAUUUUUCUCUCAAUGCAAAAACCACCUAUGUAAUCACUUUCUGUGGCUGGAUCAUCACCUACACCAUUGAUUUAACAAGAUAGCGGUUGGAUAUUAUACUAGUGCAAGGAAUUGACAUGUGAAAGAUACAAAUUACAUUUUGCUAGAGAAGGUGUGAACUAAAAUAAAUUUGCAGUCAUCCCACAAAACUAGUCAACCAUUGGUUAUUUAAACUUAAAAUUAAUUGGUAGACUUACUGUACUGCAUACUAUUGAAGUAUUCAGAUCCAGAAACACGACCAAAUGAUGAGUCCCACCUACUACUUCAUGGUAGCCAGAGAUUUAAUAACAAAAGGAAAAAGAAAAACAGAUUAAUAAACAAUCAUUAUUACAGAGAUAUUAUGCACCCACACGUUGGAAGAUGAACAACAUAAAGAAAUUUAUAGGAGACAAAUGAGGAACUAACACCCCAUUCAUACUAGCCAACUGACAAACAUAUGAUGAAUGGGUCAGAUUUCAGAACAUAUUAAGUAAAGAAGAAAAAAAAAGAAUGAUUAUUUCUUCUGAUUUCUUUGAACUGUAACGAAUGUUUUCUUUGCAUGUUGAUAACAGUUAUACCGACAGAAAGGUGAUCUACAUGGAGCUAAAGUUUAGGAAGAUAGAUUUGUUCGAAUUCCCAUAAGUAAUUUAAUAAAACAGUUUGAAAGGUAAGUUGAUGAACAGAAAUGGGUUGCGGAGAGACCAACUGAUCUACUCCCAUUCCCGAUUAAAGUACAGCAUUAUGCAAAUUUUUAAGUUGUUUCUCAAGUACUAGGCAGAAAGCAAACUAAUAAAUAGAAGAAAAUUUGCUUGUCUUUUAGAUUGUCAUAAUAGACAAAAAAGGAUCUUUAAUUUGAAAUGGAUUUUGGCUUGAGCAGGAUCGAGAAAAUACACCAUGAAGUUGCCAAUUCUGGCAGCAAUGGUCUCGUGUGAUUUGUUGGAUUCUGAAAUUUGCUGCAGAGAUUUAAUUUUAGGUGUCUGAGAACUAAUUAUAUAAGAAAGAAGGAGGCUUUAAGCAGCAUUUUAAAUCUGCAAUCUUUGAAAAUACUAGGUAUACCCAUUAGCACUAGGUUACUGAACAGUAGAUAUUACAUGUUUUAGAUAUAAGUAUGGAUACGUAUGGUAAAAUUGUACCUUGAUAGACCACGAUAUUUAGAAAUUCCUCUUGAGAAACCGCUGCUUUUUCUGCAGAGAGACGUAUUAUAAGUAACAGCUCUAAGUUGCAGUGGGAAUAAACACUUUCAAAGCUCAUACACACCUUCGAAGAGAUGCAAGGUAGUCCUCUCUUGAGACAUUUUGCAUCUCCUCAAGAUCCCUAGUAUAGUCAGUAACCUGCAAAUAAUUUUCCAUGCUUUAAACAUUCAAUUUCAGACAGAUGAGGCUUAAAGCAUUAAGGUGAAGAUUCAAACUAAAUUCUUAUAUGCCAAACCAACCUUCUCAACAACACCCCUCCUUCCCCAAAGCCCAAAACCCAACCCAAAAAAAAAAUCCAAAGAAAGAAGAAAAACUGGGGUGAGCCACCUAUUUAUAAGCACAUAAUUAAUGAAGGAAACAUGUAUGCAUUUAAUAUCCCCUGCAAGGAGAACAAAAGUUUCAAAUGACAAAUUGGAAAAUCAUCGUUAAGAGACCGCAUAUGGAUUCUUUAGUUUUUAAUAUUUAUAACCAAAAAAAGGUUAAAAUCUUUUAGGGUUCAUAUGACUAGUAGGAACCCAAGGGGGAGAGAGGAUUUGAACCUUGGACGUUAUUCCUCCUAAGGAGGGGUAACAACUGCUUUUUCAACCAUGAUUAUUAAAUUUUAGUUUGUGGAAUUAUUAUUGGUAGGAAAAAUAAAAGAAUCAAAAGGAAUUUUCAAUUACUAACAAGCACAACAAACAUGCUGAGAUAAAGCAUUCAAUUCGUCUUUUUUUUUUUUUUCGCAAAGUGAUGGUACUAAACUGAGUGAUCAUCUCACCGGAAAAUUAAUGAGUGUCCCAGGACCCCAGUAUUUCAAAGCAGCAAGAUCAUAUGCUCUUGCCGCAGCCUCCUCGUCAUCAUAUGCCCCUGUAAUUAUAUGUUUCUUAAUAAAUAGAUCAUCGUAAAAUGAAUGAACAGGAAAGUUCAAAGAAAUAAAUUCACGAAUCUCCUGACGUACCUAAGUAGACUGACAAUGGUCAAAAACCAAGCAGCCCAUGCACCAAAAAAGAAUAAAAAUAUUGUCAGCUUUCGUGAGAAACAUGAACUGUUAAGUCGCAAUUAACUAGCCUGCAAAUCUAAAUCAAGAGAGAAAAGCAGAUAGACAGACCUUGCUUCCCUUUCUUGUUCUGAUUUUGAUUCCAAGUACUUUUAUCCCAAAGGUGAGCUUCAUAACGACCAGUCCAUCUAUGCCUAAUAUACAUAGAAUUGAACCACAAGCAUCAAUCACCCAUGUAUUAUGACUGGAAUUAAAUUCUUUAGUAGUUUACAGGCAACUGUGAAAAACAUGCAUCAACCAAGAAAAACGUAGAAGUAUUAAACAGAAUCUUCUAUUUUCUUCAGAAUGGCCUAGUUUAUCUAAUUUUUUUUUUUUAAAGCCAUCAAGUGUAACUUACAAAUAUCCCUAAUAGAUACAGUACCAAUUUCACACCACAGAAACCUCUAUGAUCCAGUAAUAUGAAGAACCUUAAACAUUACAUUUUUUGUUGUACACAUAAUUUAAUUUCCUUAACUAUUUCUUGCAGAUUUGUACUCCUCCGAUGAUAUCAUGAUAAUACAAUUUAAUCAAAGUUUUCCCAAAAGCAAAGAGGAAAACAGAGGUGUGGCUGUCAAAAGCAGAUGAACCAUUGGUAACAGCUAUAUGCUGACAACAGGGACCCAAAACAUUGACGUGCAGCCUGCAUAAUACUGAAGAAAGAAUUGAUGUCUCUUCAAGGUCUUGCAGUUAAGACGUUCAUGUAUUUAAGAGAAACCCUGUUGAAUUUUUUCCCCAUUUCAUUCUUUAAGUUUGCUCUCCAAAAGCCACCAGACUUAUAUCCUAUCAUUCUCGUUGGUUCCUAGGCAGCAUAUAGACAAUCAUACAUAGGAGCCUUAUCAACUAACCAGAGGCAUGUUUCCAACAUCGGCCUUUCUCCAAAACUUCCCCCUUAUACGUCAGACACAAAUUAUCAAAUGCACCAAAGACAUCAAUUGUGCCCUUCAAAUUUUUACCUUCAAUUAUUCCUUGACUCACAACAGGGACAAACUAAAAGUCCAAACUCCAAAUCGAAUAAUUCUCAAAAUUUAGUUCUUUUGGCAGCCUAAAGCUAAGGUUUUGAUCAUAUCGACAGCUCACUUUAGUGAUAAAUUCCAGCAACACUUACAUAUUCCCAAAGCUAAAACCAGUCAAAUCUCAACUCAAAUCCAUCAAAAACUAUUCGAAACUGCUACCUUUCCCACAUCAACUAAUCUGAUAAACAACAAAUAAAAAUCAGAGUCCCUUCAGAUUCAUCCAUCAAAUAAAAAAUUCACAAAAAACCAUAACUCUAAACUCAUAAUCUUUUAAAUCAAUAACCAAAACAGAGAAUUUAAGUAAAGCCAAGUAAGUAAACGACAAAAAAGACCUUUUUUUAACCUCAAUUAUUGAUUUGUUUUGCUUUUUUACCUGGUGACUCCACGGUAAAUGGAGCUGCGUUUACCGGCGGUGCAAGGCGGCAUCUUACUGAUACGUUCUUUAGCAGUGCAGCCUCUCUCUUUCUUCGCUUUCUUCAAUCCUCUGUACAGUAAUAGCUGAUCGUUUGCUAUCACCGUCUCCGAAUUCUCUCCGCCGCUGGCCUCCGCUUUCAUCCCCGGAUCCGACGACGACGUCGAAGCCAUGAUUGAAAAAAAACCCUAACUCUUGGAGAGCGAAAAUUCCAAAAAACCAAAGAAAAAACAGUGAAGUUGAGAGAGUGAGAGUAGGCUUUUGGGGUCUUCGGUUUUGGCUUUGAUGAUUUCACUGUGGAGGAAAAAACGAAUAGUGAGAGAGGAAGAGGAGAACUGAAUUUACGAAAAUGUCCUGAUGGUUGGUGUUAUUAACUUGGUGAUGUUUGGGACUGGUAUAGAUAAAACGGUUGUAACGGCUAGGAUGUGAAGAGGGUUGGGUUUGUAAUUUUACAUGUUUUGAAAGUUCUGUAGCUUUGGCAUCUGUCAACAACAAUGAAUACCAUGACACCGGCGUCGUUUAGGUAUAUUCCCGUCUUUAAUUCGUAACCAUAGAGGGGAAAUAGCGAAAAUGUAUUGCAAAAUUUAAAAGAACUGAAAAAAGUUGCUUCUAUACCUUACAAAUCCAUAUUAAUAUUUAAAUCCAAUAACUAUAUUUUAGAAAAAAAAAGGAAAGUUAAAAAGAAAAAAUGAAAAAUAAUGGUAGAACAUUCUCUCUACACAAUUGUAGUGAAUGUGCUAAUGUUUUUCCCGUACAUAAUUAUAUUGUGAAUUUUGUAGAUUAGAUUCUAUCUAUUUUAAAUAAAUCUAAGUCAAGUAUAGGAUCUCAAUAAAAAAUGAAAUAUUCAAUUAAAUAGGUAACCACAUUUGAAUAAAAAAGAUUAGUGAUAACUUUUCUACAUAUCAAACGGUUGGAUUCUUUUCAUCACUUGUUGGAAUAACUUGACGGCUCCACUCAAAACUUUGAGAGUCGAGUUAGUAUGUUAUCUUAAGGGUUGACCCACUAAUUUUUAUAAUUGACUUUAUUUCUCUUAUACCUCAAUAAUUUUGUUUUUAUCUAUUUUUUCUUAUUAAUGUUUUGAUUUUGUUAUUUUUCUUGUUUCAUUCAUAUUAUUAUCCUUAAUAAAAUGUUGGGACACUUAGAACAGGGUUUGAUGAGAUGAGUAGUCAAAGGUUCGUAUGUUUUUUAGCACACAAUUGACAUUUUCCAUAGUCAUGCAUGAGCUCUGUAUUCAAACUUCAUCCAUUUUAGAAAAGGUUAAAGUACCUAUGCUUUUGAGAGGUGAUGACUUUUAUGUAGGUUUGUGAAAUUCUCCCAUUCAAAUUGAACUCUUUCCGUUUAUAACUUAUGAUGAGUGAGGAUAAAGGUGCCUCACUAAUUUAGCGUGGAUGAUAAUAAGGAACUGUGUAAAAACUUUUAGCUUCUUGUGAAAUUGAGCUCAACAUGUAAAAAAUCGAAAAAACAAAUUUUCAUAGAAAAGAAUAAAAGAAGUUUUUCUUUCAUUACUUUUUUGUUCUUUACAAAUUAUAAAAAAAAAAAGGCUUUUUUUCUUUCUUCCUCACCCUUAUUACCGUAAUUUGCAUCAAAUAAUUUGAUUUUCAUUAUAAUUCCAUCAUGCAUAUAAUGUUUCAUUGUCCAUUCAUGAUCAAACCGCUUUGUGUUCUACAUCAUUCAUUCAUCCUCUAUUUAUCCACAAAUAAAUACAUUUAAUCGCCCCUCCAUGCAUUUAAGAAUUUGUACAUCCGUCCAUUCAUCCUCUCAUCCUCUAUUUAUCCACAAAUAAAUACAUUUAAUCGCCUCUCCAUGCAUUUAAGAAUUUGUACAUCCAUGCAUCCACCCAUUUUUGUCUACAUGAAUUUGUCAGUCAUUCACUUUUGUUAUAAUUAGAAUCAUUUGGCUUUAUUACAUUAAGUGAAAGAAAAUAUUUGAUACUGACAAAUUUUUUACUGGCCACUUAGACUUCGCUCACCGUGUCACUCUUAAGUUUAAUUAACUCAAACACCUUGACCUUAUCCCAAGCUUUAUCCUCAAACACUAUUUCCUUUCUAAACUACCAAAUAGGCCAUGUAAUCAUUAAAAAGACCAUCCUCCAAAAUUUCAAUUUCCUCACAUCAGUGACUGUGGCGUUCCAUGCCACAACGAAAGGAAUCCCUAUCAUAGGGAACACCAAUUAAUGCCCCAGUCGUGGCACCAAAGACCCUAUAACUGCCACUAAGCAUCCCCUUCCUCACAGGUUCAUACUUUAACCACUACUUUGCCUUUGAUUACCUGCCAACCAAACACUUACAACCUUUUAGGUGGGAUGAGUCUAGCCCACUCCAUUUUCCACAAUGUUGCAUUUUCAACGUUACUACCCAGCAGUGAUCGACAAAGGGAAUUAGGUGUGUAUACACCAUUAUUAGACUCUUUCCAUACCCUUGAAGCUUGUCCGUAACUUUUUAAAAAAAUUCGAAAAAUUUAGUUUUGAAUUUUGAUUAUAUCUUAACUAAGGAUUUCUCUGAAUUAAAACUUUCAUAAGAACAAUGAAAUAUCUCUUUUAAAAUCACUUAAGGUGAUGUAAUUUUUAUUAAUCAUUUAUUUAUCUCAUGCUUCAUGUUAUAUCCAAUGCCCAUUUCAUUAUACAUCCUUAGUUAUGCUCUCGGCAUAUUUGUUAUCGGUGCCUAUUAUGGAAACUUAAUCUUCAAAAAAAAAAAUCCUUAGUUUCGAUGACUCAAAAUAAUAUCAAAGUGUAGCAAACCCUACAUAUGAUAAGUUGAUAGUCUCAAAUCUAAUGGUCACUUAGACAAUUGACACAUGAAAAUUUAUUUUCAUAAAUACUUGAAUGAAUUAUCAAAUGAAAAUUACAUGGUAAGUCAUAUUCAACGAACUUGUUCUUCUAACAAGCAUUCAUAUUUUAUUUUAAUAUAUUUAUAUUUCGAUUUAUGAAAUUGAUUACUUUGUAAGUAAGAAAUAUAAUAAAACCUAGUCUCUCGAUUUUUAUUAAUAUCUCAUCUUGGUAAAGUGUUGACUAGGAAUAAUUUGAAAAUGAUGUUUUAAUGUAAUAAAUUAAUUCUUUAUAAUUACUUUUGUAAGGCAUAUUUGUUUUAUGAUUUUAUCUUUAUAAGUAAAUAAUAUAAAUUGUAUCAAUUCAUUGAUAAAGAUAAACUUUAUUGAUAUUUAAUGAUUGGUUUUCAAGACACAAGUCGACUGCUACAAUAAAUAUAUAUAUAUAUAUUCAAAUUUUUCAUGAAACAUUUUUCUUUCAAACAAAGAAAAAGAUGCCACUCCCAGCAUCUUUUCUUUUCUCUAGCUCCUCGAUUCAAAAGUACAAAGCCUUAUAAUUACUUUAUGCAAACCUUUGUUUUAAAAUAAAAAACAAAAAAAGUAAGAAGUUUUGUUAAAAAAUUGUAAGGGUAGCUAGCAAUACAUCUAAAAUAAAAUUUACUAAAAACGAUAAUCUUUUUAAUAUAUUUGAAACUAUUCUGGCACGCAUGGAAUGUGUGAAUAUAUAAUCUAUGUCAUAUGGGGAUUACAUAUGAUCCUUAUAAUAAUCGCUGUACAUUGACCCCAUUGGUUGCCAAUAAAUUUUAAAAAAUUCAGACUUUUGUCAAAUCAUCGUACAAAUUGGUUGGCAUGCUUCUACUUACUUUUAAGAAAAAGCAGUGGUCGACAGAACCCACACAUUACUAUAUCAGUUUUCUAGUUUUAAACAAGUUUCAUGCAGGAAAUCAAAUAGUUCAGUUUUGCUCGUUUUAUAUAAAUUACAAUUGGUCGGUGUGUUGCAUACCGACUAAAUAUAACUUGCAAAAUUAAGCAUGUGAGAGAAAAAAAUAUUCACAAAAUUUGUCAGAAUUCAUAUUGUUAUAAGGAUAGCAUAUAAUAUUUGUCAAAUUUUAGAUUGAAAGAAUACGUAGUAAUUUAUUUUUUUCUAAAAAAACAAAAGGUAACAAAAUAUCUUGCUUUUGAAAGUGACACGAUAAACAAAGACCAAAAAAGGAAUAGGAACAUAGUAGCAAUUAGAUUAACAAGAGCUAUACAAACCACAAGAAUCAUAUGUGAGUGAUAAACAUUCAUAGGCAACAACAUAUUUUGAUGCUAAUAAUACACAUAAGUCAUACACAAGGCCGGCCCUAGGGUGAAGCCACCCAAGCAAGGGCUUUAGGCCCCCAAUUUGGAAAGACUCUAAUUUUAAAAAAGAUUUAUAAUUUUAUAAUAAUUAUAAUAUAAUUAAUUAUAUUAAAAAUAUAAAAAUAAAAAAUAAUUCAUCAAAUUAUUUGUUCUUUUACUUUUUUUUAAUUAUGUACCUAAUAAAUUUUAAUUUUCUAUUACUUCUUUAUUUCUAGAAUACUAUUAAUUCUCAAUUAUAUUAUCUUAUUUUCAAUAAACUAAUAGUUACAUGUAUUUAAUCAUUUCUAAUAGCUAUUUUUUUCUCACUUAUUUCUCUUAUUUCCAAUCAACACAUUUAAUAAUUUUCAACAGUUAUUGUUUUUUCUAUAUAUAAAACUAAUUAUUUUUUUCAAUGUAUAAUAUUUACUUUUGAAAUCCUCAUUUCUCAUUUGCUCUUUCUUCCUUUAAUUUUAAUUUUUCUCCAAAGAAUACACAAUAAAUUUGUUCUUUUAUUAUCUUUAUAAAGCUGUGAGCUUGAUUUGCGAUUUACAAUAAACAUUCAACAAUUAGGUACUAUUGUUCUAAUUUUUACAGAUUUUUUUACUUUAAUUUAGAUUUAUAUUAUAUUGUUAUAUUAUUUUUAUUUUAUGUAAUAGUUGAUUUAUUUGAAUUAAAAUUUUUGAUUGUUGAUUUUAUAUUGUCACUUAAAAAAUAUAAGAUAAUUAUAAUAAUUAAAUAUUUUUAUAAUAAUGUUAACAAUUUCAGUAAGUGUUGCUUCCGGAAAAAGAAGUUUUUCAAAAUUAAAAUUAAUAAAAUUUUAUUUGAGAUCAACAAUAUCUCAAGAAAAAUUAAAUGAAUUAACUAUAUUAUCAAUUGAAAAAAAAUAUUAAAAGAACUUGAUUAUAAAAGUUUAAUUAAAAAUUUUACAUCUCAAAAAGUUAGAAGAAUAAAAUUUUAAUAAUUUUUUUUAAUUUCAAUAAAAAAAACCUUAUUUGAAUAUUUUACUUUAAGUCUUUGAACUUAUUGGACAGCCCCUGGUCAUACAUGUAAUAUAUAUAUAUAUAUAUAUAACAGCUAAAGAAAUCAUUAAAUAAAAUACUUAGAAAGCAUGAUAAACUAAUUUAAACUCAACAUGAACAUUAAAUUUACUUCCCGGGAUAAUAUACAACACAACAAACAAAAUGAAGUAAUGUUUUUUCACACAUAACUGAACAAAAUAAAUCAUGAGAAGAAAUGAGAGAUAAAAACAAAAAUUAGGAGAACAAUGCAACCGAUCAUAUUGGCCUUGCGAUCUUAACAAUCGAGAUGCAAUAUACCUACGUAACGACUUAUACGUCAAAAUAUUAUAAGUAAAAAUAGUAAUAAAAAACAUUUAUGCAAAGCUUGAGUUAACUGGUUAUAUUGAGUUAACAACGAUUGAUUUUGAGAAGAGUAAAUAUCCUUCUCAUAGCUAACGGGAAGAAGACGUUGCAUAAAAGCUUGCCAAUAUUGUUUGACGACCAAUCAUUCCCUUAAUAGUAAAAAGAAUUUUUUUCUACCCAAAAUUCAACCAUGAAUGACAAUACAAAACGUUGUUGCUCUGAACCAACUAUACAAAUUAGAAAACAAUAUAAAGUAGCCAAACAAAACACUCAAUUAAUUCUACCAAACUAAAUCACAACAGGAAUAUAGAAGUUUAAACUACAAAUCAAACAAUGAUAUGAACUAAGCAACAAAAUUAUGAUAAUCAAACUUUUAAAAAACAUUUUAAACUCCAAAUCAAAACUAUAAAUGAAUUACCAACUAGGUUAGCAAAAGCUGCAUAAGUAAUAUAUCUAGUCUAACAUAUAACAGGAUAAAAAAAAAACAUUAAAUAAAGCUCUUUGAACACAUAACAAACAAACUCAAACAAACAGCGUUUAAGUGAAUGUGUUAAAAAAAAGUUCAUUACCAGAAAAUAUUAAACAUAGAACAAAGCAUGAAGGAUAUUAAAAGAAACAAUGAGUUACAAUUAAACAAAUUCAUUACCAGAAAAUAUUAAACAUAGAACAAAGCAUGAAAGAUAUUAAAAGAAACAAUGAGUUACAAUUAAACAAAUAAAACAAACCAUCAUCCAACCAUACAAAUGAGAAAACAAUAUAAAGUAAUCAAACAAAACCCUUAAAUAAUCCUACAAAACUCAAUACAAUAGGAACAUUGAAGUUUAAAUUACAAAACAAACAAUAAUAUGAAGCAAGCAACAAAAUUACGAUAAUCAAACUUUUAAAAACCAAUGCAAACUCCAUAUCAAAACUAUAUAUGAAUACCAAUUAGGUUAGCAAAAGCUACAUAAAUAAUAUAUCCAGUCUAACAUAUAACAAGAUAAAAAAAACAUUAAAUAAUGUCCUUUGAACAUAUAACAAACAAAGUCAAACAAACAAUAUUUAAGUCAAUGUCUAAAAAAAAAUUUACUAGAAGGUAAGUUAUUAAAAAAAAACUCAAAAAGUUGCUCACUUACAAUGCUUAUGAUUACUGGAACAACAAUUAAAGCAAAGCCCCUUGCAAAGAUAAAUUAAUAAGAUCAAUAAGGAAACCCAUGAAUUAAUGAAGUCUAUCUACAUUGAAAACCAAUAUACAAACGAACAACUUUGAUCUCAUCGCAUGCCUAGUCUAUUUGUCUCACACAACAAUGAAAGAAUGAGAUUUUUGACCAAUCAUUAUUUGUGACAAAUAAUAAAUAUACAAUUAGAAAAACAAAAUGACAAACCGAACAUAGAAAUUUAAAAUAAAAACAGCAAAACAAAGGAACAGCUAACACUACAAAUCUCAAAAACCAAACAUGAAAAGGAAAAAAAUAGAAUUUUUUGCAUGAUCAGAAAAUAUCAAACAUAAAACAAACCCUGGAACAUAUUUAAAGAAACAAUGACUAUCAAUCAAACAAACUAAACAAACGAUCAACCAAUGAUAGAAUUAAAAAAACAAUAUAAAGCACUAAAUCAAAUCCAUGUAAUAAUCUUACAAAACUAAAUCAUAACAAUAACAUAGAAGUUUCAAUUAUGAAACAAAUAAUGAUAUAAACCAAGCAACAAAAUUGUAAUAAUAAAAACUUUAAAAAAUAAUGUAUACUUCUGACUAAACCCAUUGUCCCAAAAAAGAAUAUCACCCCAUCUCACAGGGGAACCCAUCAUUUCCACUGAGCAAUGACCAGAGCAAAAUUUUUUUUAAAAUCAACAAUUAUAUAAGCCAAACAACAGAAGCACAAUAAUAAAAUGUUAAAAAAAUCAUGCAAAAUCCUCAUGAAGGUCAUCUUCCCCAUGAACAACAUGACCCAUUUGAAAUGGGUAUCCAUCAUAUCCACACAACAAUGACCAAAACAAUAAUUUAUAAAAAAAAAACAUAAAUAAUCAUGGGCAAAAGCAAAGAACAACUUAUUUCAGAAACAACUCAAAACCCAGAUUUCUUCAACCUGAAAAACCUUAAAAAGCAAAGCCAAUAGAGAAAAAAUUAGGAAAUGAAUAGAUGCAACAACAAAAAAAACCCAGAUGAAAGAAAAAAAAGAAUAGGAAAAAGAAAAUCCGAAAUAUAGUAAGGAAGAACGGGAGUAGGUCAAGCAUAAAGAGGUAGAGGACAACAGCAAAUAGCUCAGACACGGAAGACAUCUCAUGCUAGACAUGUUAGUUGGCUAUACGUAAUCAGAUGGUAAGCACAAAAUUCGAAAAACCCAAAAGCGUCUAACAUGAAUCCACUAAGAGAAAUGAAAAAAAAUUCAUACAUGCCACCUCCCAACCUUACCCGAAACAAAAUUUGAAAAAGUCAAACCGAGAAGGAAGAGAAACGACAUGAAUAAAAAUGCCAAUCGAUCAACCACACGUAAGCCUAGCACAAAAGAGAAAGCAAUAGGGGAGAACAACAAAAGGAAGAAAACUAUCAACCACACCAAGGUGGCUCAAGUGUGGUAAAACACUCAAGAGAAAAACAGCUCGAGAGAGGAAGGGGCACAAAACCCUAGGGCACCUCAAGUGAACCUGGGGGUGUGUUAACCCCUAUCCCCCCGAGCAUGUGGCUUAGCCAACAUAAGGCACUCGGCUUGUGCGGGCCAACAUAAACAAAGCCCCAUCAGUGCCUCCUCAUAUGUCCAUGUGGCAAAAAAGCAAAGGUAAACGUGGCAUCGUUUGGGUGCCCCAAAGGGCUUCCUUUUAUAUUAGGUUAUAUAUAUAUAUAUAUAUAUAUAUAUAUAUAUAUUAUGAUUUAUAACAAGAAAUCUUUUAUAAAUUAAGUUUAAAUAUAUUUUAAUUACUUAAAAAAAGGAUUUUUCAUUUAUCAUCAUUUUGUUUCAAAUUAAAAAUAUACUCAAUAUAAAAUUUAAAUAAAAGUCAGAUAUGAAGGAUAAGAAGAUAACAUAGGAACAAAACCUUCAUAAGUUUUUUUUUUUUCUUUUGAGAUCAAAAUUCUAAUAGAAAUCAUGAAACUUAGACAUCAUAUCUAGUAUUUGGGUUUCUAAGUGAAUAAGCAAACCUUAAAUUGAAAGUCUAAAAAGAAAUCGAAAGAUGGAAAAAAUGUUAUAUGAGUAAACUAAACUUAAUUACAAGUAAAGAUAAAAAUUAUACUAAAUUCUUUCUUUAUUUUUUGAAAGACAAAAUUACAUUGAAAUUAGAAAAAGACCCGCGCUAUGCAACAUGUGUGUAAAUUUUUAUAAAUAAUUGUUUAAGAAAAUGAAUAGAAAAAUUGAAGUUAGUGAUAUUUUUGUGGAUUGUUUAAAGAAAUUAAAAUGAAGUUAAUUAUUUAUAAGGAAGUUAUUAUUCAAUCUACAAAAAUAAAGUUAUUUGUAAUAAUUUAGACACAAUAUCAUCUACAUCAUUUUUAAUAUCAUCAUUUGUGUAUAUUUAAUAAUAAAUUCUUGUUUUUUUAUAAUGUGGGAAAAAUAGAAAAUGAAACAAUGAAAGACAUAUUGAAAAGUAGUGCUCAUUAUAAAAUAUAUAAAAAAUUGAAUGAGAGGAAAUAUAAAAAAGAAUGUUGGCAUCAAAGUAUCAUAUAUAGCUACAUAUCUGAUUUUGUGCUAAGCAUAUAAUCUUGUCUAGUAGUUAAGAACGGUAUACUAUAGAUCACACGUUUAUCCAAGAAUGAACAAACCCAACCAAUUAUGUUAAUUAACUUCAUUAAAUUGAUAAUGUCAGGAUAUUUUUUACUUGAAAAAUUAUGGCACUUUUUAUCUUCAUCAAUUAACUUUUCCUCCCCUUCUACAAUAUGAGAAUUAUCUCAUUCUCCUUCAAUAUAUAAUUUUUCUUUUUCAAUAUUGAAAUUUUCUUCUUCGAACCACUUUUGCACACCAUCUACCCUUUGAGCAUUAGAACAUUCAAACCACUUUUCCACCUUUCCCUUUGGGCAUCAUCAACAUCUUCUAACAACUUUCCAUCAGAACAAUAAGUUCUUUAGUGAAUUCCAUAUAAUACCUAUAUAAAUUCAAUCUUAUUAAUCUUGUAAUAGAGAAGAAAGGGUAAGUUAGUGAUCUACAUAAUAAGAAUAGAAAAUGAAUGGUCAAUGUAAGUGAAGUACCAAAGAAUAAGCAAGGGAUAAUAAAAACAAAAGGGAAAAACAAUAUGAUUGUAGCAAAUUUCAAACUUGCAACAAAGAAAAAAAAGAAGAUAAUUAUUGUAAUAACCACUACAACAUGAUUUGUAAUAGAAUUUGGGAAUUGAACUAUCCCCAGAAAAUACUAUAAAAUGGAAUAGUGAACCAAAUUAUAAAAACAAUACUUAGGAAGAAUUUGUAAACAGACGUAAAUGAGAUUGAUCAUCAACUUUUAAAAUAUAGUACCUCUAGCAUUGAUGAUGAACAUUUGGUGAAGAGUUUGCAAACAUUAAAAGGCUAUAACAUAGAUAACAUAGAAUUUCAACUCAACAUAAAAAGUAAUAUAGAAGUAUUCAUCUAAUAAUAAACAUUUAAAUUUUGAAAACUUUAUCCCAAAACACAAAACAAAAAGAGCUUGCCUUUACAAUGCAUAUUCUGAUCAACAUGCAAAAGUAAAUCAAGGAACAAACUUUAAUCUAGGGUUUUAGAGCUGAAAAAAUAAAAGAGAUUUAUCUUUAAAAAGAGAGAAUCUUAAUAUAAAGCUUUAAAAAGGCAUAAAAAAUGGAUUUUUCUUCUAUUUUUUCCUUUGGCUUCAUCAACUCAAAAUACAAAGGAGCAAAGCCCCUUUAGUUUUAAAACUAAGAGGCUUUGAAAAACCCCAAUAGUGCUCCACAAUUUAACAAAUGGCAAUGUAAAAAGAAAAAAAAAAGCCCCUUUCUCUAUCUCUUCCUUUUUUUCUUUCUCAACACACCUCCAUGGUAGUGUAUAUGUCAUGCAAGCUCAUUGCUUUAACUUAGUACAACCAUUUUCAAAAUUCUAAAGUUAAAAAGCUGAGUAAGGUUAGUAAUGCAUGCAAAAAUAGAACUAAUAAAAGAAAAUUUAAGGGUAAAAUAUAACCACCCCCUAAGUUUUCAUCAAAAUUUCAAGCACGUCCACUAGUUUUCGAAAUGGACGCUUCGUCCAAAAAAAAAUUAUUUUGCUUGACAUAUAGGUCUAGCCUUUAGUCAACUGUUAGUGUUUCUGUUUAGUUUGAUGAUUUGGUAAUAUUGAAAUGAUAAUUUUACCAUUUACUAUAGUUAAAAAUCACUAUUAUAUAAUUUUUAUUAAUUUUAAAACAAAUAUGAGAGCACCAAUCUUUUUUUUUCAAAAAAAUAUAAUAAUUUUUUAAAUUAAUUAAGAAAAAAAGGUAUUUUAAUCCUUUCAUAUUCUUUGUUAACGGUGUUUAUACUUUUGGGGUGGAGUAUCUAUUUCGAAAACUAAUGGACUCGCUUAAAAUUUCGAUGAAAACUUAAAGGGGUGGGGGUGUUUUACUCAAAAUUUAAAAAAGUUGGAAAAGAAGACUUUGAGGCCGUCAUUAGAAAGAAGACCAUUGAAGAUGCAUUCCUUGAGAGUAGUUCUCAGCACUACGACAUCAUACUCUUCAUCCAUGGAUUUUAAUUACUUCUACUGCUAUUCCAAAAUGAUUAGAAAAGACAAUAAGGAGUUCAUGUUUCUUUAGUACUCACCUUUCAAAACCCAAGCAAUACGUCGAAGAACAAAAUUGUAUAGUCCAUCAAUGAGAAGGGAGGGGAGAUUGGGAAGAAAGUUGAAGAAGAGAACAUGCAUUAGGAAGUUUCCAAAGAAAAGUACAAGAAAAGGGAAAAUGAAGAAAAGAUCAAGAAGACAAAAGAAGAAGAGAAUGGAAGCUUCCAAAGAAAGGAGAAGAGCUAGAAAACACCCUUGUUUUUCAAAGAAAAAACCAAAAAUGCCCCUACCUUUUGUCCAAAUUAUCAAACUAUACUAGGUUCGUGUUUAAAAGUUCAAAAUACCCUUCAAACAUGUUAAAUACUAAGGAUAGAUGUCAUGAAUAGAAGGGAUAUAUAGGUAGGAUUCAUUAUACUUUAGAUUCGAACUAGCAAAAUUUAUUGACACUAGGUCAAUGGGUGUGGAUAGAUAUAUAUUUUGGUCGUCAUAAACUUAGAUCAUUUUUCUAUAGCUUUUUUAAGAACCAUAGUUAUAAAAUCAAGGUAUAAUGUUUUAUAAAAUAUCUUUUAAUUAUUCAAAAAUUUUAAAUAAGUAUUUUUAUUACGUUUAAUCAAGUUUUUAUAUUUUGGACUAAAUAGACUUUUAUAAUUAACUGUUGACUAAUUUUCUUUAGUUAAAACGUUAUUUGUCAUUUUAUAGCCAUGAAAUACUAACGUGACAUGGAAGGCAAAAAGUACAAUAUGAUCAUGUCAUCAUGUCAUGUCAUUAUUUAUUAUGAUAUUUUAACAUGUCACAUCAAUAUUAUUUGAUAUGAAAUGACAAGUGAUAUUUUGACUAACGAUAGUCAAAUGUUAGUUAUAAGAGUUUAUUUGAUUAAAAAUAAAAGUAUGAAGAUUUUAUUGGGCAUAAUAAAAAAAUAAGAACUUAUUUGAAUUUUUUAAAAAUGGUUUAAGAGUUUUUUAGAUAUUAUGUCUAACCCACACACACACACACAUAUAAAGAACAAAAAAUUGGCAAUUGUCAUUAGUUGGAAUGAUAGUGCAUGUCAUGCUAGUUAAAUAUAUUACGGAUUAAGCUAUUAAAACUAUAAAGGUAUAAUACUCGAAAAAACUAAUGGUAGACUAAUUGCAAUUAGUCAAAAUACCACUUGUUACUUUAUGCCCACAUGGCGUUGAUGUGAAAGGUGAAAAUAUCACAUGGUUAUAUUAUCAUACCACAUCAUCAUCUAUUACAACGUAUCAACAUGCCAUGUCAACGUCACAUGGCAAAGAAUGAUAAAUGGUAUUUUAACUAGGUGAACCAUCAAUCAUAAAGGCUUAUUUGGCUCAAAAUAAAAUAUAAGAGCUUUUUUUUUUCGAAAAGCAAUAUAAUAGCUUAUAUGGCUCAAAACAAAAAGAGUUUAUUUAAUUCAAAAUAAAAGUACAAGGGCUUGUUUGAAUAUAAUAAAAGAAUAAAAAAUUAUUUGAUUUUUUUAAUAAUUUAAAAGCUUUUAUAGAUAUUAUGAAAACUAUAAAUUGAUUAUUGUCUUAGGGUAAUACAUCAACCAUAAAAUCUAGUUAAUGUUAUUCCCAAAAAAACUCUUGGAAGCCUUGAAAGAUGAGGUUCAGUUGCCCUUGUGGCUUCAAUUUCUAUUGUUCUUCUCCUUAUUAUUUUUGUUAGUGUAAUAAGCUCAAUGUGAAUAGUUUCAAAAAAUGGGUGAAUUGGAAUAUUUUAAAUAUUUUGAAGAUUUCUUUUCAAUUUCAAGAAAAAAAAAUUCUUUCAAGUCAAAUCUCCUUCUUUUUUGAGAAUGAAGAAGACAAUUGAUUUCUUAUGAAAUACGAGAAUUUGGAAACACAAAUGAAAUUAAAAGAGUGAGAGAAAAAUCAACACAAUAGUUUUAUUAGAGGUUCGGCCUCCUUGCCUACAUCCUUUCCCUUAGAUUCAUUAAGGAGUUUAAAAUCCAAGAUUGAAAUAUUUUUCAAUACAAUGCCUUUUGUGGAUCAAAUACAACCUUUCAAUAUAAUGUUUUUUAUGGUUAAAGCACAACUACUCUACCUUUUAUUUUGGCUAAGGUAUAACACUCAAAUACUACCUUUCGAUUGGUUAAGGUAUAACUACUUAAGGGAAUACAAUGAGAGAUAUGAGUGCAGCUAGAAUGCCUUUUAAAGGUUGAGUAUUAGAUUAAGUACAAUGUUUCGUGAAAAAUAAGAUAAGUAAUAAAGGCUCAAUAAAUGGUACAACAGAUGUUCUUGCUUUGUGUUUUGGGUUGUUUUGAGAUGAUGGUGAAUUGUUUCCUGAUCUUUUUAGCAACCUUUUCUAGAGCUAGUUUUUUUCCUCUUGGACUCUGAUUUUUGUGGUUUCAUGGGAUACAUGCUCUUGGAUGUGCCUUCUACCUUUUUAUGGUAGUUUUUGUAUAGUUGUUUUUUGAAUGAUAUGAAUGAGAUUUCUUGCCUUUCAAAAAAAAAUGGUACAAUAAAAGACUUAAAUGCUAUAAGAGAAUUAUAAAGAAUAUUGAAUGAUUUAAGCUGAAAUCUUCUCUUAAAGUUGUAUUUCAGAGUCUUCCAAUCUUCAUAAAUGUGGUGGGAGUUGUAUUUAUAGUUAUUGAAGCUUUUAAAGUGGUUGAAGAUGCAUUAAAUGUGAAAACAACUACUUUUCUCUUCAUUCUAAGCUCUAAUAGUCAUAUUGUAUCGAUACAUGUGUGGAUGUAUCAAUACAUUGCUGCUUUUAUUGUUGAAUUUUCGCUGAAAUGCAUCAAUACUUUUGAACUUGGCUGUAAGGGUUUGAACAUUCUAUGAAAAUGUAUCGAUGCAUUUAAGGCAGUGAGCACUCUAUUGAAUUUUUAUCGAUACAUUUUGAGAAUGUAUAGAUAGAUUGAGUUUGACUUUGAAAAUGUUGACUUUUUUUAAGAACAUAUAUCGAUAGAUUUCAAUUUUUAUCGAUACUUGUUCAAAUGUAUCAAUACAUGGUGUAAAUGUAUCGAUAGAUUUGGAUCAAAAAGCAUUUUUCAAAGUCUUUUUUCAUUGUUCUUAUUCUCAAACUCAUUUGAAAGUGCUAAGGGAUGUCUAGACUUGAUAUUUCAUAGCUUAAAUAAAAUUUUGGUCAUUUUCUUUUGUAAUUUAAAAACAUGGGAUCAAUUUAAAAGCUAUAGAGCUAACAAUUUCUUAUAACGAAGAAGAUAAGAGUAAAGACGUAUAGCCAAAAACUUCCUUCAAGCCUUUAUAAGAUUCUAAUCAUAGGCAACUUAUACCAACUUGGUCCAUUAGCUCACUGCUCUUUGCAACAACAAUCCAAGAAAUAUGGCCCCAUCAUGCUACUUCGGCUUAGCAAUGUGCCUACCUUUGUUACCUCAUCUGUUGAUGCAAUAAGAAAAAUCUUGGCAACCAAUGACCUUCAUUGUUGCACUAGGCCUCUUUUAGCUUGCACUAAAAGGUUUUCCUACAAUUAUCUUGAUAUAGCUUUCAUUUCUCACGGAAACUACUAGAGGGAGAUGAGAAAAUUAAGAAAUCUUGAGCUAUUCAAUGCUAAAAGCGUUCAAUCAUUUCAAUUCAUAAGAGAAGAAGAGGUUGCGCAGAUGAUUGAGUCAAUCUCUCAAUCAUCAGCUUAUGAAACUCCUAUUAACCUUGCUCAAAAGAUGAUGGCUCUCACUAUUCAUAUAAUUCGUGAAGUUGCUUUGUGUAAGAGUGCACUUGACAAGCAUAAAUUGCAAGAAUUGGUUCAUGAAGCUUUUAGCAUAAUGGGAAGUUUCUUUGCAUUUGACUUCUUUCCUUAUGUGGGUUACAUCAUAGACAAGGCCACAGGUCUGCAUGGAAGACUCGAAAAGACUUUUCGUGAUUUGGAUCUUCUCUACCAAAAGGUCAUAGAUGACCAUCUACACAUUGAAAGGCAUGUAAAACUAGGAAGUUGACGAUGUAAUUGAUGUUUUGCUGCAAAUAAAGAAUAAUCAAACUGACACUUCUCUUCAAAUCACCCAAGACAAUAUUAAAGUUAUUCUUAUGGUAUGCAAUCCAUCUAUUUUUACUAAUAUUUUUUAAAAAUUUUAGUUUUUAUUUAACAUGUACAGAUUCAUUGGUUUUUGAAAGCAGGAGUUUUCUUGGAUCCUUUUGUCAAGUAUCUACAUAAAACCAAUUUAAUUACAUGUUAGAUGCUUAAUUUCAUCAAAUUUGUUUUUAAAAUUUUAUUUUUAAUUUAACAUAUAAAGAUUCAUUGGUCUCUACUAAUGCUAAUUUAUGUACAAUACAUAUAUAAAAAGUUUAUUAAUUUUGGACUACAUAACAAAAAAAAAAAAGAAAGAAAGAAAGAAAAAGUAACCUUAUCCCAUCCAACAUAACCUAUGGUCAAGCUUUUUUUCCAGAAUUUAAACAAGAAACCUCCUAGUUAAAAGUUUUAAUGUUUUAACCAUGUCUCUUGGAAAGUACUAUCUUAAAUUUUGCUGACCUUUCUGCUAAUUAAUUGCUUUUAGAAUGUAAUUUUGGGUAGUUGAUAUUACUUCAAGUAUGAUGGUGUGGGCUAUGGCAGAGCUUGCUACAAGAUUGAUGAAGAAAGCACAAGAUGAAAUCAGAAACUGCAUAGGAAAGUGUAAAUGCCCACUACCCAACUACGUGCUCAUUCUCUUAACACCCAAUAAGUUGUUCUUCUCAUAGUAAACGUAUUCUUCCUAUAACAGGCAUGUUUUUCCAUGAUUGAACAUGUUGUCCUAAAAAUAUUCUUCUUCUACCAACUACCACUCUUAUUUAGUACAAAUAUGAGAGUUUCGAAAGUUGGGAGGUAAUAAGAAAAUAAUCAGAUGCUCAGUAAAGAUUACUCUCAAAAUUCUCUCAAAUAUUCAUUCUACUUAGCCUUUUCCAUUCACUGUGAUCCACUGCUUUCUCCACCUUUCUUAUUCUUCACCGCCUAUUACCAAAGCACUUACACUUCAAGGACUUCUCUAAUCUUUCUCUUUACCGCCUCUUAAUGCAUUUCAUUUUACUUAUUGCGACACAUUUCUUUCUCCUAGAAGAGUGCUUUAUAUUUUGGCGAGUUUACUAGAAAUGAGUGAUUACAUUAAGUAAAAAAAAAGUUAUCAAAAACUUUUUUUGUCAGAAGAUAUGGAGAGUUCUCCCAACAGCCAUGAAAUGCCCACUUAUGUCUAAAGCUCAUGAAAAUGCUCUACGCUUCCCAAAAAAGGAUGCAAGUGUUGGAGGAUAACAAUAAGCGGAUGAUGAAAACCAUUGCCUAGUUUGUGUCAACAACUGUCACAACCCCUUAACCUCAAGUCAUGCCACACCAUAAUGGCAAAAAUGCUGCUAACAUGGUCAACAACAGAAAAAAAAAUGGAGGAAAUGGAGAAAGCACAACUGACCCAUUUCUCAAUACCAUUAAUCCCUCUAUUGUUGGCAAUCCUAUCAUCGUAACUCCUCUAACCAUAGCUCAAAGCUUUCUCACAAAAGAAAAGCUGGAGAAGUUGCUCAAUCAGAAGAACAAAAGUCUCAACUUUGUCGAGUUUGACCUACAACUACCUUAUCUUGCCAAAGUAGUAGCAAAGUCGUAUCCCAAAUAUUACACCAAUCUAAAAUUUAAACAGUUCAAUGGCAAGAUCGGUGAUGCUUAGGAACAUGUCAUGAAGUUUGUGCAAACCUUGGAAGUAGCAAGUUUAGAUGAUGAUUUAAAGUUAAAGGAGUUCUCUAAGUCCCUCACUAGAAAGCUUCAAUCUCACUCCUGGUUAAGUUGACUCUUAAAACUAUAUGUGCAUGAUGUUUAGGAAAAAGUUCUUACCUGCGUUAAUCUAAGAAGAGAACAUCAAAAAUCAAAAAAGGAUCUUAUGAAACACAUCUAGCAAUUUAGAGAACAAGUAAUGGAUAUACAAGAUUCUUAUGAUGAAAAAGAACUAGUCAAAGUUUGCAUCCAAAGUAUGUUCGAUGAAUAUAAGGUGCAUUUGGAAAACUUACCUCUCCCUACUUUUGCCACUUUAGUAAAAGUUUCAUGGUGGACCAAUAAUAUGGUCGUUAAGCAAAAAGAAGCUAAUAAUUUCAAUAGAAGAAACAUCCCAACUAUGAACGUAAUACAAGGAAGAGGUAGAGAAAGAAGUGGUCCUCAAGAAAGCCAAGACAGGACAACUUCAAAAGAAGACAAGAUGAAGAGAUUAAUGCACCUCAUUUACUCUUAGUUCCACUUGAUAGAGUAAAGGCACUCUUUCGAAAAUGAAUUAGAGAUUAUUUAAAUUUACCUUACAUAUCGUAACCCCCAACGGUAAAAGAAAAGUCCAAUCCAAGGUAUUGUGACUCUCACCGUACAGUUGGUCAUUCACUUAUUAAAUGUAGAGAUCUACGUAAAAUAUUUUAUGAGAAGGUGCAAGCAGGAAAAAUGGUGGCUGGAAACAAUAAGAUCUAAAAUAACUCAUUUCCCAUUCAUCCAUGAUAUGUCUAAAAUGCCUACUAUUAAUUAUUUCACGUACUCAAAAUUUGACAUUUGCAAAAAAAAAAAUCAUUUUUCUACCGCAAGCUUUAUCGUUCUUGCUUUGGCUGUAAUAUUAUUGUUGCACUCGAUCAUAAGCUUUAUAUCUUAUUCUUUGACCAUAUAAUUUAUCACUCAUAUUUUAGCUGCGAGCUUUAACACUCAAAAUUUGGUUUUAACGAUAUUAUGCUAUUGGCUACCAGCUUUAUUACUCACUUCUUGGCCAUAGCUCGCUAUUCACAAAUAAGCUGCAAUUUUAAACAUUCCUUCAUACUAGGUUGAGGAUUAUUCUCCUUAAUGUAAAAUUAAGAAUCCUUUUUGGCUGCUCACAAUGAUACAUGUGAAACAUUCAUAUGUUUGCAAAGAGUGAAAUAUGGAAGAAAAUAUCUCAAUUUACAAGCGAUUAAAUAAAACCACAAAGAAAGCAAAGUAAAUGUUUACUAUGGAAAACAAGUCUACAAAAGAAGAACAAGCACAAGCUAGUUAAAUAUGAAUUUCAAAAGGAAGGAAGAUCAAUCAUUAUUAAAAUUGAAAAAGCUGUCUAAUCUUCUUCGUAGCUCCAUUUUUCGAUCUUGCACUAAAGCCAUCUAUGAGUCUAACUCUUUUGUCUCAGCCUCUAUGCCAAGUUUGUCAAUCCUUGUUCACAAUAUAUUCUUUGGCCUUAGUUAUACAAGCAUCAAGACAUUUAAUUUGGCAACUGAAUUUGAGGACAUAUUCCAUGAGAUGCACCAUCUAUUUUAAUUCCUCAAAAGAAAUGUCUGCCAUAAGGAAUAAGCAAUCUCUAAGGCACUGCCCAAUACGUCCAUAAUAGCUCUGUUCAAGAUUCUACUAUUAAAAGGCCAAAAUUCACUUUCUACUUUAUAAGCAUGCUCCAAAAGCUCCAAGUGUUAUGGCAAGAUUGAAAUGCAAUGAAAGUCUUUCAAAUGAGUGUCAAAAGCAUUAUCUCUACGUUCUAUCACUAGAAAAAAUGACACAUGAACUCCCCUCAGAAGAAGAAUAAGCAUUGCGAGUUAUAUUUAAAACACCCCUAAGAGAAAAAAAAAACGUUGUGAGUUGUAUUCAGAACACCCCCAAGAAAAGAAGACACAUUAUCAGUUAUAUUCUGAACACCCCAAUAAAAGAAGACACAUUAUGAGUUAUAUUCUGAACACCCCAAGAAAAGAAAAAGCAUUGGGAGUUGUAUUUGGAACACUUCAAAGAAAAGAAGACGAAUUUCGAGUUGUAUUCGGAACACCUCUAAGAGAAGAAAAAGCAUUGCGAGUUGUAUUUGGAAACUUUUCAAGAGAAGAAUAAACAUUGCGAGUUGUAUUUGGAACACCUCCUAGAGAAGAAUAAGUAUUAUGAGUAGUAUUUAGAACACCCUCGAGAGAAGAAACAUUGUGAGUAGUAUUUAGAACAUCUCGAGGAGAAGAAGAAGCAUAAAUAUUCUCACUACCUUUAAGAGAAGAAGAAAUGUUGCAAGUAACACCAAGGGUAGCACAAACUCCCUUAAAGUAGUAACCAUAGUAUGUGAAAAGGUACUCCACCUUGCAAUAAUAGCACACCAUACUUCAAUUCUAGUCUCUUUACAAAUAUGGAGUUUAAAGGUGACUUUUA